Molecule: long non-coding RNA, 73806 nt
Filed under: Prunus persica (peach)
Lineage: Eukaryota; Viridiplantae; Streptophyta; Magnoliopsida; Rosales; Rosaceae
Description: long non-coding RNA (PPER_LNC003694)
Source: RNAcentral
CCAGGGGUGCCUAGUUAGGAAAAUUAAUUUAUGCAUUGAGUAAAAUUAUCUUUUGUUUAUAAUUUUAUAAUUGAGGAAAAGAGAGUGGCAAUUUUAUUUUUUUUAUUGGUAAUGAGAGUUUGAAAAUAAUAAGAACAGCGUAAAUUUUUGGGUUAACUACAUAAAAGUGCACAAUCUUUGAGGGUCAUUUCAAAUUAAUACCCAACUUUAAAAAUCUUCCAUGUAGAUACCUAACCUUAUAAAACACAUGCAAAUUAGACAUUUCGUUAGUUAGAUUGUUAGUCAAGCUGCUAAGUGCUGACGUGGACUUUCCCACGUGGUUUUUUUUUUAAUGAAGUGGACUCCACAUGGACAAAAUCAUUAACAAAAAAAUCUUUAUUUUUAAAUUAAUUAUAAAAAAUCAAAUAUAUAAACAAAAUAAAAUUAAAAAAGUAACAAAAAACAAACUAAAAAGCAAACAACUUGACUAACAGUCAGCACUUAACAACUUGACUAACAGUCUAAUUAACGAAGUGUCUAAUUUGCAUGUUUUUCUUGAUAUUGGGUAUCUACGUGCAAGAUUUUUAAGGUUGGAUGUUAAUUUGAAACGACCCCCCAAACGUUGAAUACUUUUAUCUAGUUAUAACCCUAAAUUUUAUAUUGGGACAAAAAGUUAUGACAAUUUUAAAACAAUAAUCUCUAUGGCUAGUGUGAGACUGAAAAUUUUUAUGGCAUGAGAGUUUGGUUUACAUGAUUGCAAUUAUAAUAUUUGGGUGGUGCACUCAUUGAAGUUCAAAAGAGUUUUGAGAAAUAUAAAAUAAAUAAAUUCAAGCGAGGAGAUUUCAACAAAAUUUAAUACCAAAAAAAAUUUAAUAAAUUAGGGGGCGUUUGGUAUCCUGUUCAAACAAGGAACUCAAAAACUUUGAUUUUUCUUAAAAACAAGGAGUUCUUAAAUCUAUUUUUAAGUUUCAAAAAUUUGUUUGGUAUACAAUUUGAAAACUGUUUUCAAAUCUUAAAAAUUUGAGAACUUGUGGGUUGUUAGAAAAAAAUACUAAAAAAACAGAUAUUUUUUGUUUUUAAUAAUUGAGUGUUUUUUAGUUGUUCUUGAGUUUAAGUUUUUAAAAAUAGGGCUACCAAACAGGUUUUCUUUGUUUUGGACUCAAAUUCUGUUUUUGAGUUUAAAAAGUUAGAUUCAAGUUAAAUACCAAACAGACCCUUAACAAUUCAUUGUGGACAAUUUAAGCCCGUUGGGGCCUCGCCGAAAUCUAGAUGGGAGGAUGCCCCAUGUGCAGAGGCGGUCCUACAGCCAGGGCAGGGUAGGCUACUGUCUACCCAAAAAAAUUUCACUAAAAAAAAAACUAUAUAUAAACAAAGUAAUUGAUACCCAUUACAUGUGAUGGUAUAAAUCCUUGCCUACCCAGCCCAUGUAAACCCCACACCACAGGUGUUAAAGCCCACUCAAACUUUAAAAAAAAAAGAGAAAAAAUUAUAACCAGCCCAUGUUAUGGAAUGGCCCGAUCAAACUUUAAUAGAAGGGGGAAUAUAACUUAUAAGCAGCCAAAUAGUGGUUGUGCAAUUCCAGACAGAGUCGGCAACUUCUUCUCAACUCAACAGUCUUGGCUGUGCAAUAGUCAAGCUGUGCAAUCGUGGACAGCCCCUUCUCUUCUCAUAUACAAGGAAACAAGUAUUCUUCUUAAUCUCUUCUCUUUAAUUAUCUUAUUCUAUUGGGUUAUUCCUAAAAUAAAUGUAUGCAUCUUAGUUUUAAUUUUAAUUUGAAAUUGAGUUUUCUAGGGUUUAAUUAGGAAUGAAAUAUAAUUUGGGGAUUUUUGUUGAAAUUAAUUAGGUCUUUGAUUUUAAGCAUUCUGUUGAGAUGUUUGAUUUGAUGUUGGCAUUGUUGAGAUGUUUGAUUUGUUGUUGGUAUGUUAUUGUUUGAUUAAAUUCAUUGAUGCAAUUAUGAGAAAUUGUUUGAUUUUUUGUUGGGAUGUUUGAUUAAAUAGGUUAUCUUUUAUUAUGUCGGAUCACAAUCGAAACCCCAAGAAAACAAAGAAUUUGUUCUCUUUUUUUAAGAAAAAGAAUGAUGGGUCAUCAUCUUUUAGAAUGCCUCCCAUUUGUGAUGAGCCAAAUCUUCUCUCUUCUCCCGUUGUCGAUCCUCAAGUUGAAAGAGUUGAGACUCAAAGAGUUGAUAGUGGUCAAGAUUUUAAUAUCAAUUAUCUUGAGCGUGAUUCGGGAUUACGUCGUCAAAUAUGCCAAUAUUCGGUGAAUGAACAAGAUAAUGUGCGAAAAGCCUAUAUUAUUUUAGGGCCUUGUUAACCAGAGUUAGAAGACUAUCCAAGCCAUUUAGAAUGGCGAGACUUACGUCGAUUUAAUAAAUUGUGGUUUGGUAAAUUCCCUUGGCUUGAGUAUUCAAUUGCUAAAGAUUUGGCAUUUUGUUUUCCUUGCUUACUAUUUGACAUGAAUUAUUCACAUUCAACCUUUACUAUUCAUGGAUUUCAAAAUUGGAAGAGAAUUGGUGGUAAUCAAUGUGUAUUUCAAAGUCAUGUAGGCAAACUAAAUUUUCCACAUCAUCUUGCUAUGCAGAAGUGGGUUAGCUUAAAAAACUCAUCUCUUCAUAUUGAAAAUGUAGUAGAUAAGCAAUCAAAGCAACAAGUGAUGGACAAUCGGUUGCGACUUAGAACCAUAAUAGAGGGCAUUCGGUAUCUAACAAAUCAAGCAUUGGCUUUUCGAGGUCACGAUGAAUCCGUUGACUUAUCUAACCGGGGCAAUUUCGUUGAAAUCUUAAAGUCUUUUGCAAGAAUGAAUAUAAAAGUUGAGAAAGUUGUUCUAGAUAAGGCUCCUCAUAAUGCUCAGUAUAUUGCUCAUGAUAUACAAAAACAGAUCUUGCAUAUUUUUGCUACCAAGGUGAAGAAGAAAAUUUGUACCGAACUUGGGAAGAACAAAUAUUGUAUUCCUGUUGAUGAAUCACUUGAUGAAUCAGGCAAGGAACAAAUGGCUAUUAUUCUAAGAUUUGUUGAUUGUGAUGGAUUUAUUCGUGAAUGCUUUUUUGAUAUUGUGAGUGUCGUAGACACUAAUGCCUUGACUCUUAAACAAGAGAUAUGCAAAGUGCUUGAUAAUAACGGCAUUCUAGUGGAAAACAUGCGUGGCCAAGGGUAUGAUGGUGCUAGUAAUAUGCGUGGUUCAUGGAAUAGAUUACAAGCAUUGUUUCUUCAAGAUUGUCCAUAUGCAUAUUAUGUGCAUUGCUUUGCUCAUUGCUUGCAAUUAGCAUUAAAUGGUGUGGCUAAAGAUGUGAAGGUUGUAUGGAGAUUUUUUUCAAUAUUGACUAACAUUGUGAAUUUUGUUAGUGCUUAUGCUAAGCGCCGUAAUGAGUUAAAUUUAAUUUCAAAAAGCUGAACUCAAAGAAUUGUUGGAUUCUGGGGAACUUGAGACAAGUAGAGGACUUAAUCAAGGUCGUAGUUUGAAACAAGCUGGAGCCACUCAUUGGGGAUCUCACUUUGCCUCUAUUACAAGUUUAAUGAGUUUAUUUAAAGAGACUAAAAUACUUCUUCAAGAAUUCAGUGAACAUGGACCUAACCAACAAUUUCGUGGUGAUGCAGAGAGUAACUAUAUUGCUAUGAUGUCUUUUGAGUUUGUGUUUGCAUUGCUUUUGAUGGAUAAAAUUAUGGGAUUGAUCAACUUUCUCUGUCAAGUGUUUCAGAAAAAAAAACUCAAGAUAUUGUAAGUGCUAAACUUUGUUGAAAACACAAAAUCACAGUUCCAAGAUACAAGGGCACAUGGCUGGGAUGAUUUAUUCAUGAGUGUGGUAUCAUUUUGUGAACAACAUGGUAUUGAUGUUCCUGAUAUGAGUUCUCAUUAUAUGAUGGGCACACGUCGUUUUUGUCAACAAAAAGAUUUUAUUACAGUUGAACAUUACUAUCGCAUUGAUGUAUUUAAUGAUAUGAUAGAUUGCAUGUUGAGGGAGUUAAAUGACAGAUUUCCAGAUCAAACAGUUGAACUUCUUAUUCUUAGCUCAGCAUUGGAUCCUCGUAAUUCCUUUAAAUCAUUCAAUAUUAGGCAUCUAUGUAAACUUGUUGAGAAAUUCUAUCACGCUGAUUUCAGUCCAAGUGACUUAAAAGGUUUGGAAAUUGAGUUGAGGUAUUUUCAAAAUGAUAUGCAUUGUCUUCCCUGCUUUAAGGACCUCACCACUCUUCCUCAGUUAUGUCAACAAUUGGUGGAAACAACUUUGGCAGAAAAUUAUCAUUUGCUUUACAGGUUGAUUCAGUUGGUGUUGACUCUUCCAGUUUCUACAGCAACAACGGAACAAGCUUUUUCAUGUAUGAGAAUUAUUAAGAAUAGACUUCGAAGCACCAUAGUUGAUGAAUUCUUUGCUAAUUGCAUGAUUCUCCACAUUGAAAGAGAGUUUGCUAAUAGUAUCGAUAAUGAAGAGAUAAUUGAGGAAUUUAAGAUUUCUAAGCUUCGUAGGGUACAAUUUUAGAUUAAAUAGUUUAGUUUUUGUGUUGCAUUGCAUUUACUUCUUUUUUUUUUUUUUUUUUGUUAAGCUUUUAUUUAUGUAUAGAUAUGCAUAUUUGAGGGUAAGACUCAUUACGUCCCCCUGACUAGGUGUAUCUUUUUAUUUUUAUGAAUGAAUAAAAUUCACUCGUACCGUCGAGUUUUUAAGGUAAAUUUCGCCUACCUGACUUUUGAAUCCUGGAUCCGCCACUGCCCAUGUGAAAUCCAGGUAAACAUUACAGAAUAAGUAAUUUGUUAAUUCCAAACAUGAAAGAAAAAACUUAUCUUCUUUCUUUUGGCAGUGAUAUUCUAGCCUAAAGUUGAUAAGGCCCAGUCUUUUUAGUAUAUACCAUGCAUACAUGACAUUAUUCUUCUCUCAUGGAUUAUUAUUGUUCCUCAGGCACACUAAGCAUCUGCAUCAUGCACCAUGUUUGCCAAGGAAGGCAAUGAUUAGCUGAUUAACUUGCUCCGGAAAUUGUUCAUGCAUAAAAUGAGUCCCUUCCUCAAUGAAUUUAACAUCCAAAUCGGGCACAAGAUGCUUCAUUGCCCCCAUCCGUAUGUAGUUGUUCACUCCCGGCAUCUUUAAGCUGUAGUCCUUCUCACCCACGAUAAGCAGUGAUGGAGCUGACACUUUCGGAUCAAUUAAGCUGCGAUCCACUUUUAGUUUUCUGCACCAUUGAGGAAAAGUCUAAUGAAAAUUAUUUAGUUCGACUAGCUAGGAUCAUCCGAAUUGAGUACUUCAUUCACUUUUAUGGUCUUAAUUUAUUUUACCUACCUAUAGGGAACUUGCAGUGCAAAACAGAAUCCAGAUUUCUCAUAUAAAGAUGCAUAGACAGAGAGAUCUUCCUCGGAAAACCAUGGUGGCAGAGGAGUAGCAGGGUCAAUCAAGUCCAUGAUUUCUUGAUCAGCAGCAGCUAUUGGGAUCUCACUUCUAGAGAAGAGAAUAUAGAUGUUCCUUAUCACUGUCUUCACAUCAAAGCGGCCAAAAUCUAAUUCUGCCCGCCCCGGCUCCUAUAAUUAGGCAAGAAAUUAUUGCCUCAUUUUGCUACUAGUGCGCUUUUGUAGAAAACACUUUUGCUCAUAAGCGCGGAUUUCAGAUAUAUAUACCUGCCACCUUGAUAUGUAGAAACCUUCUGGGAGGAGAUGAUUUUGGACAACAGAGGGACCCGGUUGAAUGAAAGGUGUUCCUAGUGUUAUGAUUGCACAUACCCGCUCUGGGUGAAGGACACCUACUCGGUAUGCAGACAGAGCUCCAAAAUCCUUCCCUACAAUAAAAGCCUGGUACAGAUAAUCAAGGUUGAACUUUGAGUUCUUGUACUAAAUAAUUAUAGUGUUGAAAAUGGUUUAUAUAUAGGAAAAAUAGGAUGAAAGUGAACUAUGAUAUGCUUUUUUUCUUUUAUUUUCCCCGUGGUUCGAUUCAAUCAUUCUUGGCUAUUUGUCAGGUAAGAUCAACCCUAAAGCCUCACAUAGAUAAAAGAUCUGGGAUUCUAGGUAGAGCCAUUGGGACUUAAAGCUAAGGAAACAAAUGGGAAAGGAACUAAUGCAUUUAAGGAUCUGUAAACUCAUGUCUUAAUCAAACAAAACUAACAGUUUACUUGGACCAGGUAAUUAGGACCAAAGGGCCAAAAGCAAUCAAACAAUACCAAGAAGAAAAUAGCCAUGGUCCUGAGAGAGAGGGGAUGCAGUGGUCUGCAACAACUAAAUGUACAAAAAUUUGCGGUCUAUAAAACUUGAUAUAAUUAAAAUGAGGAAUGUAACUUUGCUUUUGGGAAACAACAAUUUUCUUUUGAGAACCUACACUUACUUCAAAUGUUGUCUAUUACCCUAGUAUGAAAUUACCAUUAACGACAAAAACAUUUUCCGGCAGAGCAUUUUCAGUGAACCAAGUUCGAACGCAAACGUAAUAGCUCAACUUCAUUUAAAAAUAAAAAAAAUAAAAAACUCACAAAUCCACCAUAGACUAACUAUGGCACAUUUGGUGGCUCAGUUUGGAUUGGAUUGAAAUUGAGUCCAAACCGACCUUAUGAGUCCCACCGCUUUAGGUGAGACUUAUAAGACACAUUAUAUUGGACUGUUAUCCAUUUUAACAAGUCCAGUCCCAGUUCGCCAAACAACGGCCAUAACUCUUGUCCAUUUUAAUUUAUAUAGUCAAUCUACUCCCUCCCACCAAACAUAGUUACAAGUCCAUUAUAACGCAUCAAAUUGAUCAGAUUCGACAACAAAACAUAAGGCCAAAAAUUAAAAUUAAUCAAUCCAAAGUACAUCAUUUGAAAUACAUUUUCUCAAAUUGGUUUCGUUGGGUGUAGUGAGGAAUUAAUGAGAAGUUGGAUUGUGGGUUCUUCAUGACUGAGGGUAUUUUAGAAAGUUACAGUUGGUGAUCAAGAGAGUACAGUGUCUUCUACUAAAAUAAUAUGUGGGUGUAAUGAUGUUUGGUCCCGAUAAAUUUUCCUAGGAUAACUCGCUAUGAGAAGAAAGUCCCCCGCUAAAAAUGGAGAAGGUCCAAAGAAGAAAGUUAGAUAUAACGUUGCUAGCAUUCCUCUUAAAAGAUUGCAUAAGAAGGUAAAGUGAGGAAAAAAGAAGGGUGCUUGAUUCCUAGAAUAAUCAAUUUGCCAAAAGAAAAUUCAAUUUAUUCUUAAUCAAGAGUUUUGCUGUGAGCUGUUGAACUGUCGCUAGCUAUUUACUAAUACAUUAACACCAUUAAUCUAACCAAACGUGUAAUCACCUCUAAUCUACUCAACAAGCAUAUUCUUUUCUUUUUCUUGAAGAGUAAACAAAGGUGAAUUCGAUGUCAAAGUAAUUGUAUUUUCUCUUCCACUCCAAUGAUCCAAUCAACAAAGUCGGAACAACACUUCAGCCUUAAGUUUUCGUCCCCCGGGCAAAAAGUUAUUUUUGGUCCCUAUAAUUAUUUUUUAUUUGUGUCAAAUUUAAAAUCACAUGAAUAAAAUUGACAAAACUGAAACGACAUGGUCUAAAGUGAUAUAACCGGCAAACUACACAGGUACUAAACGUGACUUUUUGCCUAACUAAUAAGUUAAUAACAUUGGUUUUUAGCAAAGAGUAGCGUAAUUAGCGGGUUAAUUAAUUAAUAUUACCUUGUCAAUGCCCAAAGAAUCUAAAAGAGCAACAGCAUCGUCAACAAGAUCGAGCAAGGUUGCCUUUUCGGGUUCAGCUGGCUGCUCCGAAAGUCCAUAGCCCCUGUGAUCAAAGGCUAUUGCUCUAUACCCCUUGUUUGCCACAGCAACCAUUUGAUGCCUCCAUGUGUACCAGAUUUCCGGAAACCCAUGGAAGAAAAGCACCACCUUUGGACCUGAACAAAUAAUUCAUGUCAAAACAGGGAAAGAAUUAAGAAACUGUGAGGUGAAUAUUUAUUUAUCUUAGCUUUUUUUUUUUUAAUUGGUAUGAGAAAUAUUGGAUCGUACGUACCGCUUCCGAUUUCAGCUACAUGAAGCUUUAGUUCUCUCACUUGCACAUUUGUGUGCUGAAUUUUUUCCAUGAGGGCGAGAAGAUUGAAGGGAGAAUGGGAGAAAGAUGAAACAGAGGAGGAGAGAUGAGGGGGAAGAGGAGAGAAUAAAUUCAGUGUGUAGAUACAGUUUUGCUUUCCAGUUGUAGUGUUGUACUACCACUUGGCACUUGCCAGGUGGUGGUGUGCACUUAUAGUAUGACGCCAGCUGGACAACAGCUAUUAAUAUUGGCGCCUAAAAACUGCAACUUUCCACCUCACCGUCAAAAGUUGUGCAAGUUUGUCCUUUUUUUCUUUUUUCCUUUUUUCUCCUCUUGGAAUCUCUCAGAGAAGCCAUGUGUUUUCGUUCGAUCCACUGGGUAUUGUUCUUAUAUCAACUACCAUAAUUUCUUUUCUUUUUUGGUCAAGAACUAUCAUAAUUUCUUGACACCAAAAAAAUCAUCAAAAUCUCUUUUGGGUUGUUAAUUAUAAAUAAACCUCACAUAAAAUCGAUAAACACCUAUUUAACAAAAUCGAUUUUUUUAUUAGGCACGAUAGUCUGAAUUUACAGAGAGGAGAUUGAAACUUGGUUGCAAUAGAGCAAGUUCACUGGUCUAACCCAAGUCAAUAUAACUUGUACAUAUGUUAUAAUAUGAGUGAACGAUAAAGUUCAUAUUUAGUAAAGUCAGGCCGAACAAGCAUCCAAUGGAUGUUCCCAAUUUUUCCCACUCGUGCCCUAAAAAUCAUAUCAUAGUUUUUGUCUCUGUGGAAAAUCACAUGAUAAUUUUAAUUGGUGGAUGACAUUUUUCCCACUCCUGCCCUAAAAAUCAAAUCAUAGUUUUUGUCUUUGUGGAAAAUCACAUGAUAAUUUUAAUUGGUGGAUGACAUUUUUCCCACUCCUGCCCUAAAAUUGCAGGGAAAGAAUGGCCUAGCAAAGAAGCAUAGCAACCAGAACCAGCUCAUAACCCUAAAUCUACAUACAAUAAGACUGUUUAAGAGAUACCAUCUAGGGUUGAGGGCCGACAUUCUCGCUUCUAUACCCAAAAGCUUAAGAGAUAACCAUAAAACUAGUAUCAUUUAUAAGUAUUAAUAUUGUUCAGUGAUCUGAAAUAUUAUGCAGCUAGAUAAUAAUGAUCGUGAACAAAUGAAUUUGAUUCCGCUUUCUAAUAGUUGUAAACGUAAUACAAGUAUCUCAUUGUGAAACCUAUAAGGCAACUCAAGAGAUAGCUCUUAACUUGACAAGAACGCAACUCAAACAUUUAAUGUGCUCCCUUUGGUAUCUACCUUAUUUAUUUGGCUGAAGAGAACUAUCUGUACAAGCGCAAGGUUCUCUUCAGAAAUCCACAUCCUGCAAGCUCAUACUCAAGAUAGUCCCAUCAGUGACGUGAAUGCUAUGAAUUAUGAAUUGUUUGUAUCCUCUUUCAAACCAAUUGAACGGUAGUAAGAACUGGAAGGUUUCUGUUCAUCGAACGAGCUUUCCUGAUCAAUCAUCCUUUCUGCACAAGAUGCUCAACAUCUCCUAGUUCCACUUGACCCCCUUCCCCUUGCCAUUGUUCAGUCUGAAAAAGCAACUCGAUCUGCUCCAAUGACUUUCCUUUGGUUUCUGGAACAAAGAUGUAGACAAAUGCAACUGAAACAGCCGAAACUACAGAAAAGAUCAAGAAUGUUCCACCAAAUGAAAUUGCAUUCGAAACUGAGAGAAAAGACAUGGCAACUAGGCCACUGCACACCCUAUUGCCCACCGCCCCGAGUGCUCCUGCCUGAGCACGCAGCCUUAGAGGAAAGAUUUCGGAUGUCAAAACCCAGCAAACAGGACCAAUUCCAACUGAGAAGAAGGCUACGUUCCCGCAAACUGACAAAAUUGCCAUUGCAAUCCCAAUCUGCCCUUUCCCAAGAAAAGUGAGAGUAAAGGCCAAACUGAAUAAACAAGCAGUCAUUCCAAUAGUGCUGACAUAAAGCAAGGGCUUUCUUCCAAUCUUGUCAAUAAGGAGAAUAGCAACCAUUAUAAAUACAGUCUUUGUGACACCCACAGCAACAGUUGCAGCAAGUAGAUUUGUUUUAUCCUCAAUUCCAGCUUCUCUGAAGAUUUCAGGGCUGUAAUACACAGUCGCGUCUAUUCCUGUUAUCUGUUGGAAACACUGAAUUCCAAACCCAGUGAUAAGCAUUCGACGAAGUGCAGGAGAUGGACUCAACAGUUCACGUGUCACACUUUUCUCCUCAUAUUUCCCUCCACUGGACGUGUCAGCAGCUACUAGUAUUUCAUUAAGUCUGUCCUCCACCUCACUUUCAUUUUCAUUUGUUUUCAACAACACUGAUCUUGCCUCAUCAACACGGUUCUGAAUGACCAACCACCUUGGGGACUCGGGGAUUAUGAAAAGUGCAAAACCAAUGAACACUGAAGGCAGAAUUCCUACUCCAAGCAUUAUCCUCCAGUUUAUAUGUGCUGGAAGACCAGAAAAUGCAUAGUUUGAAACGUAGCCUAGUAAAAUUCCAAGAUUUAUAAAAAUUUCAGGGAAGGAGGUCAGUGAGCCUCUGGCAAUGGUGGGUGAUAUCUCAGCAAUGUAAACAGGGGCAAUCAUGACACCGAAGCCAAUUCCAAUGCCGGCCAGGAGUCUUCCAAUCAUCAGUAUUUCAAAUGAAGGAGCAAAUACCAUUACACCUGCACCAGCUUGAAAGACAACAGCAGCCAAGGCCAUGGUCCACUUUCUACCAAUCAUAUCGGAUGUUUUACCACCAGCUAAACUACCGAAGAGCGAAACAAUACUCAGAAUCCCAACAAGUACUUCUUCUUGUACCUCGGUUAUCUUUAAAUCUUCUUGAAUGAAUAUGAUCGCUCCACUCAUGACACCUACAUCUGCCAAUUGAGAAAAUUCAAACACUUAUCUUCAGAUUCAGAUUGAUAAAACAAAAAAGGGGGCACAUUUAGAACAAGUAUAAACCUGAUUAAUUUUCUUUACUGAAAGUGAUCAAGGCGUUAUUUGCAAACAGCAUUAAACAUAUAGCCAAAGUUCCUCUGUAGGGGGGGAAUAUUUAUCAAAGAUACCAAAUAUGAGCAAAAAUAAACACAAAGUGUUCCUAAUGUUGGAAGAAAACUGGAUGAUCCACAUUUUCUCCAAUAAGUAUUGCAUCACUUGAAAGCAUAACUAUACAUAACUAAACCUUUCACUUCAUGGCGGAGGGAUACAUUUUGCUCUAAAAUCACUCAGAAACAUAAAUAAUAAUAUAAAAAACUAGCUCCUUGAUCUUUUACUUCCAAUGAUAUGAACUGCUAUCCCGGAAAAAUAAAAGGCAAAUGGUUUAUUUCACUUUAGGUACCUGAACUUUGACGUGUCCAAUUCAGUACCUAAACUUUAAUUUGUCCCAUUUUAUACCCUAAAUUAAUUUUUUGGGUCUAACAAGUACCAAAUCAAACUUAGUUUGAAUAAUAAAUAGAUAUCAUGGAAAAUUUUGGCACUUGCACAUUGUAAGUCCUAUAUGAACACAAAAUUGCCAAUGAGAUGUGAAAUUUUUUUCAAUAAAAUUUGAUUUCAUACGUAUUAGAUCCAAAUAAUUAAUUUGGGGAUUAAAUAUUGGACAUUAUAGUUGAGCACUAAAAUCGAAAAAAAAAAAAAAAACCAGAAAAGAAGAAAGAAACAGUAUUUGGAACGCUCAACAGGCUGAAUUUGGAUUGGAUGUCUUGUAUACAAUUCCCAGUUUACUUUCCUUUGCUGCUAAAUUAGACAAUCCAAUAAAGCACAUAGGAUUAUUAGCAAGUUUUGGUAUUAAUCAGAAAGGAAUAAGAGAUUCUUUAAGCAAUUAAGCACAACAAUUAACUACGCAAAGCAGAUCAUAAAAUGCCACCGACAAACAGCAACAAACUUAUAACAUACAAGGCUCACCAUUUUCACACACAAACAAACAUAAAAAAAUAUUCAGGCAUACAUACAUUUACAGAUACAUCCAUUAACACAUCCUACAUAAUAAGGGCCUUAAAAACUGAAAAGUAAUAAAGAAAAUCAUGUACCAUAGCCAAGAAGAACAGAGUUGAGAGAAGCAAAAAUGGCACAAGCAAGGACAUAUUUCCUGGUUUUUUUGCUCCUUUUUUCUUGUAGCUGGUGCUGUGAAGCAUCUUCAUCUUCAUCUGGGAGCUGAGAAUCCAUCCUCUUGUAUUUGUUCUUGGUUCCCAAUGCAACACUAGACAAACCCAUUUCUCCAUUUCCAGUUUCUCCAACACCCACCAACCCCAUCUCACUUUUCUCUGUAGAUCUCUCUGUAAAUCUCUCUGUUUCCAAUCAUAAAACUGAAGAACAGGAGCAGACCCGGAUGGUUGUUUUUGGGGGUUUGGUUUUUGUUUGACUGCCGAAUACUUUAGACUAUUAGAGACCGUGUAUAUGUUGUAGAUCUGAAACAAAGACAGGAGAAUGAGAAAAAAAAAAUAUUUCAGCAGGCAAGUGGGGACCCUUUCUUUUUGUCAAGCAAGAAACCCACUUGAGAUUUUUACAUGUGCAAAGGAUUUAACGUCACAAGACCUCGACCUCUUACUUAAUUGGCUCAAAUGGCGCUUUCUAGGUAACAGCUGUGGAGCUGUCUGUAAAAGAAAAUAUGAGACCUUUUUUUCCACAUUAUUUAUGUACAAGCUGUUAUAAAGAAAUGAAGCCCACAUAGAUAAAGCUAUAGGGCAUUAGUCAAAAGAUAGAGAUAUAAUUAGAGGGUAUUAGUUAAAAGAUGGGAUAAUGAUGUUGGGGAGAAAUCAUUAUGUCUCCCUUAAAGGCCAUUUGCUUUGCCUAUAAAUAAACAUUAUAUUUGCUUGUAAACAUACGAAAGAGAAGAAGAGAAAGAGUAAGAGUCAGAGAGAAGAGAAAGAGUGGAGUCUAUCUGAGGAGAAAUUCUGCCAGUGUAAACACCACAAAGAGAAAUAUAAUUACACUCCCAAUAUUACAGUGGUACUUCUCAUCCUCUGACUACUCUAGUUUUAUAACACAAGCAUCCUUUUUAUGUUUUUUUUUUCUAAAUGAAAGAAAAGUUUGGGGGGAGAAUUGCGUAAAUUUUCGGUUUACUUUUUAUUUAUACAUUGGUAAAUUUUCUUUAAUUUUUGUGUUUAGAUGUAAAGAUUGUGUUGAAAAGAAUAGUCGUACCCAAAGAACAAUGGUGAGUUUGUCUUAAAUAUCUUGGAAGAAAAAAAAAGGGGGUUUGGACUUUGGAGGAGUCGUCAAUGGAGAAUGAGUCAAAAGUGUAUGUUACGCGUGAGAAGGUUAUAGGAUUAUUUGCUUCCAUGUCUCCUCAUAAGUUGGGAAUUUCUAUUUAUGAUAAUAAAUUCUUUGAAUUUCUUUGUGUAUGUGUGUCUACGAGACAAGACAAGACAAUAUUCAUAUAGAUUUUUUUAUUCUUUUUAAAAGACAUGGCAAUAUUCAUAGAUUGUAUAUAUUUUAAGUGGCUUAGUGGCAUGCGCUUCUCUUGGGGUAAAAGAGUUUAAGUAUGAGACCUCUCUCUCUCUCUUUAAAUGAUAGGACGAAAAGGAUCCAGAGUGGGCUUCUAGAUCUAUUUAUUUUGUGGCUUACUAUUAUCUUUUAGAAAAAGAUAAAUUGAGCAAAGAAUUCAUUAGUGUAAUGGUUUUGAUCAAUUAAUUCUUCGUAAAAUGUUCUGGAUUCGAGUCAUAGCAUCUAUGUAAUGUGUGUGAGUUUAGUAUGCUAUCACCCCUCUCAAUAAAAAAUGUAUUUUAAAAUAUAUAAAAAAUCAAACCCAACCCCCCAGAAUCGGCGUUGUUGCACUUUCACUACCACCCCCGACCUCCCUUAUUUUUGUAUUGGGGAAUGAUGGACUUGUUGACGUGAGUAUCCUAAUUAAUCAAAGAGAUUUACUUCCUUGAUUAAUUAAGGGAUUUACUUUCCUAUUUUUUAUAUAAGUGAUAAAUCAUUGUACAAUUAGGAGAUACUUUCCUAAUUCUUUGCUAUAUCUAAUUCCUUGUAAAACCUUCAUAUGUAAACUCCUAUUUAUACCUCCUUAUGGAGAAGAAUAAAGAACAACCUAAGAUAUUCAAACCAUAUUCAUAUUUUAGCAUGGUAUUAGAGCAAUCGAUCAUCGGUUGUCUCUAAAUCCUCAUAUCAAAUUUCUUCAAACACAAACCCUAAAUCCUCAUAUCAAACUUCUUCAAACAGAAACCCUAAAAUCAUAUUCCUCAAAUUCCUCAUAUUUCUCCAAAUUCAUAUUUCUCUUUACCAAAUUCAGAUCUCCAUCCACAUCCCUCAUAUCUUCAAAUUCCCAAAAACAUAUUUUUUUUACCUUUAAAAUUCUUCCGCUGCCAUGGAUGUCAUCUCCUCUUCAAACACCACCGACACCAUUCCACCAUCCUCCCAAAUUGUUACUAUCCACAGUGACAACGCUCCUUUCCCAAAUAGCGUCACCUUGCCUGAAACCAAUUAUGCCUUAUGGUCUCAAGUCAUGGAGAUGCGUAUUGCUACUCCAUGCAAGAAUAGAGGCAAAUCACUCGACACAUCUUCUGACUCAGCUCCUGUUAGUCAUGCAGUUCCAAUGGCACCAGCUCCUGCCUCUGCCUCUGUAACCACAACAGGACAUCCUCAGCUAGGGGUGGGUUCGGUCCGGUUCUCACCUCAAAUCGGAACCGAAAUCGGUAUUAUUUAACCGGUCCAGUUCGGUCCGGUUUAGGCAAAAAAAAUUUCAAAAACUAGCCGGUUCGGUUCUAACCAGUUCCGGUCCGGUUCUGACCGGUUCCGGUUUUGAACCGAAUUAUUAAUUUAUUAUUUUUUUAAAUUUUUUUUAAUUUUUUAAAUAAAAAAAUUAUAAUAAAAAACUUAUUUUUUUAGCUUAAAAAUGAACAAAUAAUCCAAUUCAUACAUUUAGAAAUUUUUUGAAGUUGAACUUGAAAAAUUAGUGAUUAUAAAAGUUAAAAAAUGGCAUUAGAUUUUAAAAUUUUGUAAAAAUAUAAAUAUAAAAUAUAUGACCGGUCCGGUUCGGUCCGGUCCGGUGCGGAGAGAUGUAAAACCAGAACCGGAACCGGUUGGAACCGGUUCGGUCCAGUUCCGGUCCGGUUUGUUGACUUUUUUGGUCAACCGGUUUUUUUUUCGAUUUUUUUUCACCGGUUCAGUUCGGUGUUCCGGUUUUCCGGUCCCGAUGCCCACCCCUAUCCUCAGCAGCAAGACGAUUGGUUGUAGUACUAGGAGGGGCAAACUCUACCCAAAAAAAAACGAGUGAAAGAGAUAUGUUUAUUGACGUAUCCCAAGAAGAUGUUGCUUAUUUCUUGACUCUGACGACCCCUUCUCUUCAAGGGGAGAAGGGGAGUGAAGAGAAGUUGUUUUGUCUCUAAACCCUUAUCUCAAAUUUCUCAAAUUUCUUCAAAUUUCUCAUAUUCAAAUCCAAAACCUUAAAUCAAAUUCCUCAUUUUUUUCCCCAAAUAUAAAUCCCUCAAAUCCUCUUAUCCAAUCCCUAAACACAUACCAUCAAAUCUUAUACACAUACCUCUUAAAUCUAAUUCCUACAUCAAAUUUCUCACAUCACCUUCCUCACCUUCUCAUAUCACGUCUUACUUCUGCUGCGAUGUCAAGAACUCAUACGAUUCUCUAUCUUAUUGCAGACUCACAGAAGUAUACGGUCAACCCAGACUCCUUCUUCUAUCACCACCACCAAAGGUUCUACUCUUCAUACGUCCUCCAAGAUCAGAUAUUGCAUAUGCUGUGAGUGUAGAAGAGUAUUUCAUGACUGACUUACCAAGUUGGGCAUUCGUGACAUAUAUGCACCAACUUGAGGAGGAGUGUUGACGUGAGUCUCCUAAUUAAUCAAGGAGAUCUACUUCCUUGAUUAAUUAAGGGAUUUACUUUCGUAUUUUUUAUAUAAGUGAUAAAUCAUUGUACAAUUAGGAGAUAUUUUCCUAAUUCUUUACUAUAUCUAAUUCCUUGUAAAACCUUCAUAUGUAAACUCCUAUAUAUACCUCCUUAUGAAGAAGAAUAAAGAACAACCUAAGAUAUUCAAACCGUAUUCAUAUUUUAGCAGGACUCCCCUGCUCUCCAAGUGUAUACAUUUUCAAAAGGCUAGAGGUCCUAAAGUGCUCUACUACUGGGACGUUAGUUCUAUUGCUUUAUGGUGUUUCGACUAUUGCUACUUUUCAGUCUUUCAUAUUGUUAUGUUUGUUUGUUUGUAGCACUUUGUUGCUUGAGUUCUUUCUCUUAGAGAAGUUUUAGUGUGUUGUAUGUUCUUCCCCUUUAUGUUGCUUGUUGCUGCAACCUUUCUAGCUUUUUAAUGCAAGCAUAUUUUCGAACAAAAAAAGAAAAAGAAAAAGGGGGAACAUGCAUGUACUUUAGCUUUUCAACUCUAUAAUUUAGGUUUUGAUUUCUACUUGAAUUGGCUAAUGAAUUGGAUUUGUGCAAACUUUUUUUGUCAAAAUUCUUUCUGGAUUGCGAUUCCUUUCUGAAUUGGGUGUUGAUUUGGUCAUUUUAUGUGUUUUCUGGGUAUGUGAAUUAUGUUGUUUUACUGUGACAAAUUUUCUGGGUUGGUUUCUACAAGUUAUGGGGUUGUGUUGAUAGAAAAGAAAAAGGAGGUUGUGACAAAGAGAAGACAAUAGAAAGAAAGGAAGAGAUGGGUAGGGCCACCGGUGACCAAUGCAGGUGGCGAGAGGAGGGUGGCAACGGUGGGUGCUGGGUUUGGUUUUUCUUUUUUCUUUUUUUUUUCUUUUUUGAAUUUUGAAUUUUUUUUAUUUUUAUUAUAAGGGCGAAAUUAAAAUUUAGGUUGUUAAAACAAUAUGGUGAUUAUCAUAAAAUACAACAAAAUUUAUAAUUGUUGAUGUGUCAUGUUAUAGGUCAUUAGAUUAUAACGACAACUAAGAUCAAGCGAAUUGCGAGAACAUGAGUAAAUUUUAAAUGCAAGGGCUCAGGAUCCGUCAUUGGGCAUGAUUAGCCAGGUGACAUUAAACCAAGCAUUGACCCUGCUGAUUCUUCUUUAUUUGGCCAAUGAUGCGUGACCCAAAUUCUCAAUUACCUUCGAAAAGGAAGUGUCCUUGUUGAUGGCUUGAUGCAGAAUGCAUAGGACCUAAAUUGAUUAGUUUCCUAGAUUCUCUAGUCUUCCAAAUUCUAGUAGGAUUUUUAUUUUAUUCAGGGUUAGGAUUUUUGUUUUAGCAAGGAAUUUUUAUCCUAUUAUCUCUAGGUUUUAGUUUGCUAUAAAUACCCCAUGUUCUUUAAAAUUCAUAUUUGAAGAUUUGUAGUUCUUUUUUAUAUUCUUUUUUGUUCUAUUGUUUCUAUCCUUUCUUUCGCCUUUUUGAUCCAUAUUUUCUUCUUUGGGUCUUAUAUUCUUCUCUAUUAUCUGUUUAAGUGCUUAAUCUAAUACUUACGAGCUAUACUACAUCAUAGCUGGUUGUAGUACUUGUCGAAGGGAGGGAAUUACUUUGUGACUCAAAAAAAUAAGAAAAAUGCUUAAUUGCUAUAAUGCACCCUAAAACAUUGGUCAAAUCCUACUUUACCACUUUAAAGUCAAAGCACUUCCCCCUUGACCAAGGUUUAAUGUUCCACAAUGCCCCCUGUUAGAAAUAUGCCCUUAAAGCCAACUAAUUAUGUACUAGUUAGAGUUAAGGACAUCUUUGAUAAAAGACAUUAUGUUAUUAAUGGGCAAGAAAUGUUGUUUUAUACAUUAAAUCAUCCUAUAUUAUUUUUCAAUAUGUAGAACAACCAUAGUCCAAGGAAUACACAAGUGGAUAUGAAAGCUAUGUAAUGAGAUUGCAUACAUGGAGACUUCUUAUCAUCCGUAAAUCCUGAAUAUGUUCCUGGUCAUAGUAAUAUUGAUUGGGCAUCAAUAUUCCGCAAAGACCAGUACACACAAUAUCGUCUCUAUAUGUAGGGAAUGACAAAGUCUCAAGUCAUUAAGUGUGGAGAUACAUCAAUAUGUGUGUAGAUGCUUGUAGAAGAACAAGUACGUUGAACGCAAUCCAACACAUAAGUUACAACAUGGAAGUCUUUACUCACAUGUCAAGCUGGAACUCAUAAAUUGCAAUGAUACAAACUAAUUCUUGGACCUGAGGCAUCAUAGAUGUUUUGUGGCUAUGUCGUUAAUCUUUGAGGGCACUAUACGAUCAUGCUGAAUUAGGCAUAGCUUAAAGGUGUUCAUCAGGAUUCUCAAUAGAGUCAUGGAAGCAAACGAAUGUAUAACAAGGAAUCUCUACUCUUAGUAAAGGAGAGAGAAUACUCCAACAUAUGAUUGGUCCAAUCUAUGCGCAAAGUAGUGGAUAAGACUUGAAAGAAGAAGUCUUCAAAUCUUACAAGGAUAGUCAUAUAAAAGGAAUGAUUCAAAUUAGGAUAUUGACAAUCGGAUUCCAUGAUCUAAUAAUGUGAAUAAGGGGUAUUGACAUAAGAGAAGGAUUCAAUUGCAUGGUCAUUCCAAUUUUAAAAGAUUCUUUCACAAUGUCUCAUUUAGCUCGGAUAACCAUGACUUGCUGCUAGCGACAACCAUUGUUUGUGGAUGUCCUAAAAUGUUUCAAUUAACCUUUAUUAAUAGGAAGAAUUUAAUUGUGGAAUUUAAUUCGUAUAUCAUCUAUGAGGAGUUGAGUCAACCCACUACCUUGCUAAAAGGAACCUACGGAUCUGCACAUCUAAAGAAUGUGAUUAGAGGUACAAAUGAGGAGAAAUGAAAUGAGAAGACACAAGGCAAUGGUUGAUUAUCAAAUGUCAAAGUCAACGGUCAAAAAUCAACAUGUUAACCGGAGCAAUUGACCAAAGUCAAAUAGUUCGACAGGGUCAAUUAAGUAAGACUAUAAUUAUAAUUUAAUAGUUAAAUUAUAAUUAAAAGAUUAAUUAUGGAAUUAAUAUUGACAUAUAUAAAUAUUGGAUUAGGCUUUUAAAUAUGAUUUAAAAUGAAAUGGACAAAAUAGUCCAAAAGGCUACUGGGCCCAAGGGAUAAGUGGCAUAAGAUAACAUGCCCCAUGGACCAAAUAGAGCAUCAAAUACCCACCCAAUUGCCUUUUGUGUUGUCCGAUAUAAGUUAAGUGUUGGAGAAAACCUAGCUAGGGUUUUUUGGUUUCCUACUUUGGUUGAUGAGUGAUCAUCUUUGUAUCUCAUCUUCCAUAGACCAAAAAUUGGUCCAAUCAAGAAGUAGACUAGCAACCAUACUUCUUGAUUGCCUUUUCUUCAUCUCUAAGAGCAUUUGGUGUGGUAAGGGUAGGGCUGGCAAUGGGUCGUAUCGUGUCUGGUUCGUGUCGUGUCGGGAUAAUAAAAGUGUCAAGAAUGCUCAAUCCGAACCCAAUCCAUUUAAUAAAUGUGCGUGUGUCGGGUUUGGGUCGUCUUUUAUCGUGCGGGUUUCGAGUCGUGUACCGGGUUUAUAAAUGAUAACAUGCAUGUUACAAAACUCACAACUGAAAAAAUUUAAAUAAAAUAAACGGAGAGAGAAGAGAAAAUAUAAGGAAAAGAAAGAAAGAAAAAAGAUAGAGAGAAGGAAAAGAAGAGAGAGAGAGAGAGAGAGAGAGAGAGAGAGAGAGAGAGAGAGAGAGAGAGAGAGAGAGAGGAGAGAAGUGAGAAGGAAAGGAAAAAAAAAAAAGAGGAGAGAAAACUAAAGAGAAGGAAAAGAAAAAAGAAAAGAGAAAGGAGAAGAUAGACGGAAAAGAAAGAAAAACAAAAGAAGAAAAGAAACAUUAUAAAUAUCAAAAGGCAUAGUAUAUAAUCACAAAGUUGUAUGUAGCAUGAUGGAUAAGGUGUUGAAGAGGAAUGAGGGUGGUGGGGGUUCAAAACCCCCUUGUGUGUGUUUUGAAGUCUCCAUUUCUCUUCAUUUUUUCGCGGGUUGGCGUGUAUUACAUGGGUUGACAUGACCCGUUUGAUAAAUGGGUCUAACGGGUUAAACAUGUAUUUUAAUGGGUUGGCGGGUUGACCCGAAACCCACUCGAUUACCCAAUUAUUAAUCGUGCGGGUUGGGGUCAUGUUUUUUCCUUGUGGGUUUCUAGUCGUGUAACGGGUCAUGUAGGAAAUUGUCACCCCAGGUGAGGUAGAGGACUCCAAUCUUGAAGCCUUGAGGUAAAUAUCUAUUCCCUUUUUCUAUUUAUGUUCAAAGACACUAGGCUAAGAUACUUGGUUUUAAAUGAAAAAUGUUUAGCUCAACUAGUGUAAACAAAAUGCAUCCGCCAUUUAGAAUGUUUUUGUUAUAUAGGUUGUGGCUAAAGUUCAUUUCCUAAGCAUUAGAUGCAUGUUUCCUUCACCCUAUACCGUCAACUCCAUCCAAAAGUUUGUAAGUUUGAUGACGUGGCCUGGUUGUUUUAGUAAUUUUGUGCAUCUAAGUCAUUUACUCACCAAUUUGAGUUGGUGAUGUGGGGAAGUGGAGCCCACCUCUAGCAUGGAUAAAAAAAAUUAAUAAAAAAUUUUAAUUUUUGUUGAAUCAUUAAAAAAAAUAUUAUUUUAGAAACAAUUGAAGGAAAAAAAUUGCUAAUUUUCAAAAAAAAAAAACAAAAAACCUAGAACCCACUGACCCAAAAAUAGACACCAUUUCUUCUCUAGUAUUUCCCCAUUACCCCCCGCGCAGAACCUAGAAACCCUCCCAUCCCCCCACCCCCUCCCUCGAUUUCAUUUAUGCUCCCCCCUGUCCCCAUCGCAACCCACCUAGACCUAUCCUUCUAGCCCCUUACCCGCAUAGCCUAGAGUCGAGUGCAAAAGAAGCCAAAGGAGCUCGUCUUGGCAAUCGAAGGUGAUGAAUUGGACGAGUAGGGUGUUGGUGUCGAGGUACUUGUGGUGGCAGAUGAGAGGGUGAAGGAGGGCGAGGAGGGGUGAGGGGCUUGGAUUAGGGAAUAAGUGUGGGCCUGGGCCCAUUGGAAGAAUGAGAGGGCGCUGGGCUUGUUUGCUAGGGUUUUGAAGCUGAGGAUGGAGAUAAGGAUGAGCUACGUGAGGUAGGGAAUGUAGGGUUUAAGGGGUUGGAGUUGUGGGGUUUUGGCAGCGAUUAAGAAGCUGGUUAUGGUUUGGAGUAGUUGAGGUUGGGUUAAAGCUUUAGUUGGGUUGGCUAUGGAGAUGUGAAAAUUUCAAUUUUGAGAGAGAGAGAGAGAGAGUUUCAAUUUUUAAAAUUUAAAAUUUAUGUUUGUAUUUUAAUUUUUUUAAGGUAAAUAAUGUUUUAUUUUUUUUCAAUCUAUGUUGGAAGUGGGCUUCACUUUGCCACAUCACCCACUUAAAUUGGUGAGUAAAUAACUUAGGUGACUUUGGGUGCCAUUUGUUUGAGAUGGCUCGAAUUUAGGCCCAUCAUCUCUUACCGACUUAACUCGGAGUUCUCCCAACUCACUGUUUAAUUGCCGAUUUAUUCAAUAUAUUAUCGGCUGCCUUUCUUCUAACAGAGAAAAAUCCUUAACGGUUUCUUUCACAGAACCAGACGCCAUGGUGUUCAUCACAUCCCCCAACCACAAAACCCUAACCCUAAAUCUAAACCCGAAGACCACCACCCUCCAAACCCUAAAGCUCCAAAUCGAACAAAAAUCCCAAAUACCCAUCUCAGAGCAGCGCCUAUUCAUCUCCCAAAGCCUCCAAUUACUGACCCAAACCGGCUCCACCCUCCUUUCCGACCUCGGCAUCAGACCCCUCUCAACCCUAACCCUCCACAUCCCCUUGUUCGGCGGCACCCAACCGCCCAACGUCCCCAAGCCCCGCCUCGAGUUCCUCAACUCCAAGCCUCCCCCAAAUUAUGUCGCUGGGCUCGGCCGUGGUGCCACUGGGUUCACCACACGAUCCGAUAUCGGGCCCGCCCGGGCCGCCCCCGACCUGCCCGAUAGGUCGGCCACGACAAUCGGUGGCGCUGCUUCUGCUGCUGCCCCGCCUGGGGUUGGCCGCGGUCGUGGGAAGCCUGAGGAAGAGGAAGAAGAUGAAGGAGAGGAUAAAGGGUAUGAUGAGAAUCAGAAGUUUGAUGAAUUCGAAGGGAAUGAUGUUGGGUUGUUUGCAUCGGCUGAGUACGAUGAUGAGGAUAAGGAGGCUGAUGCGGUUUGGGAAGCUAUUGAUACGAGAAUGGACUCGAGGAGAAAAGACCGGAGAGAAGCUCGGUUGAAAGAAGAGAUUGAGAAAUACAGAGCUUCGAACCCAAAGAUCACGGAGCAGUUUGCAAAUUUGAAGAGAAAGUUGUACACCGUGUCUGCUCAGGAAUGGGAGAGCAUACCCGAAAUUGGAGACUAUUCAUUGAGGAACAAGAAGAAGAGGUUCGAGAGCUUUGUGCCGGUGCCCGAUACGCUUUUAGAGAAGGCGAGACAGGAGAAGGAGCAUGUUACGGCUUUGGACCCCAAGAGUAGGGCAGCUAGUGGUACGGAAACGCCAUGGUCUCAAACUCCGGUUACAGAUUUGACCGCUGUAGGUGAGGGUAGAGGUACUGUGUUGUCAUUGAAAUUAGAUAGGCUUUCUGAUUCUGUUUCUGGGCUGACGGUUGUGGACCCAAAAGGGUACCUUACUGAUCUUAAGAGUAUGAAGAUUACUAGUGAUGCUGAGAUUUCUGAUAUUAAAAAGGCCAGAUUGUUGCUCAAGAGUGUAACACAGACGAAUCCGAAGCACCCACCUGGUUGGAUUGCGGCUGCAAGGCUAGAGGAGGUGGCUGGGAAGAUUCAAGCAGCCAGGCAGUUGAUUCAGAAAGGGUGUGAGGAGUGUCCCAAGAGUGAGGAUGUGUGGUUAGAGGCGUGUAGGCUUGCUAACCCGGAUGAAGCUAAGGCUGUGAUUGCCAAGGGAGUCAAGACGAUACCCAAUUCGGUGAAGUUGUGGAUGCAGGCUGCAAAACUAGAGCAUGACGAUUUGAAUAGGAGCAGAGUGUUGAGGAAAGGGUUGGAACACAUUCCUGAUUCUGUUAGGCUGUGGAAGGCGGUUGUGGAGCUGGCAAAUGAGGAAGAUGCAAGACUUCUGCUUCACAGGGCCGUGGAGUGUUGUCCCUUGCACAUUGAAUUGUGGCUUGCACUUGCAAGAUUGGAAACUUAUGAUAAUGCUAAGAAGGUCCUCAAUAAGGCAAGAGAAAAGCUAUCAAAGGAGCCAGCCAUUUGGAUCACUGCGGCCAAGUUAGAAGAAGCUAACGGGAAUACGUCCAUGGUUGGGAAGAUUAUUGAAAGAGGUAUAAGGGCCUUGCAAAGGGAAGGAUUAGCAAUUGAUAGAGAAGCGUGGAUGAGGGAGGCUGAAGCUGCUGAGCGUGCAGGGUCUGUUGCAACUUGCCAAGCAAUCAUUCGGAACACAAUUGGGAUUGGUGUGGAGGAGGAGGAUAGAAAGCGCACAUGGGUUGCUGAUGCAGAGGAAUGCAAGAAAAGGGGUUCGAUUGAGACAGCCAGAGCUAUUUAUGCUCACGCACUUACUGUGUUCUUAACCAAGAAGAGCAUAUGGCUCAAAGCAGCACAACUUGAAAAGAGCCAUGGGACUCGGGAAUCUCUUGAUGCUUUGCUUCGUAAAGCAGUGACAUAUCGACCACAAGCUGAAGUCUUGUGGCUUAUGGGAGCUAAGGAGAAGUGGCUUGCUGGGGAUGUGCCUGCUGCCCGUGCCAUCCUCCAAGAAGCUUAUGCUGCUAUACCCAAUUCUGAAGAAAUUUGGCUUGCUGCAUUUAAACUUGAAUUUGAGAACCAUGAACCUGAGAGAGCUAGAAUGCUUCUUGCCAAAGCCCGAGAAAGGGGAGGCACAGAAAAAGUUUGGAUGAAAUCAGCAAUUGUUGAGAGAGAGUUAGGGAACCUUGAUGAGGAGAGGAAGUUACUUGACGAGGGAUUGAAGCGGUAUGCUAGCUUCUUUAAAUUGUGGUUGAUGCUUGGACAACUAGAGGAACGGCUUGGUCAUUUGGAAAAAGCCAAGGAGGCUUAUGACUCAGGUCUGAAGCACUGCUCCAAUUCUAUUCCACUCUGGCUUUCUCGUGCUAAUCUGGAAGAGAAGAUGGUUGGGCUGAGUAAAGCUCGUGCAGUUCUCACGAUGGGCAGGAAGAAGAAUCCUCAGAAUCCUGAAUUGUGGCUUGCUGCUGUUCGAGCUGAAUUGAGGCAUGGCAAUAAGAAGGAAGCUGAUAUCUUGAUGGCAAAGGCUUUGCAGGAGUGUCCCAAUAGUGGUAUCUUGUGGGCUGCAUCUAUUGAGAUGGUACCCCGUCCCCAACGGAAGACCAAGAGUAUGGAUGCCCUCAAGAAAUGUGAUCAUGAUCCCCAUGUCAUUGCUGCUGUGGCAAAGUUAUUUUGGCAUGAUAGGAAGGUUGACAAAGCUAGGAAUUGGCUAAACAGGGCAGUGACACUUGCUCCAGAUAUUGGGGAUUUCUGGGCUUUAUACUACAAAUUUGAACUUCAACAUGGGACUGAGGAGAACCAAAAGGAUGUACUGAAAAGGUGCGAAGCUGCAGAACCAAAGCAUGGUGAAAAAUGGCAACCUAUUUCAAAGGCUGUGGAGAACUCUCACCAAUCGUUUGAAGCUAUCUUGAAGAAAGUGGUGGUUGCUCUUGGGAAGGAAGAGAGUGCAGCCGAAAAUAAUAAACACUAGUUCUGGCUUGUUUUUUCCAGGUUAUGUUGGAAAACGUUGUAGUACAGAAAGAAAAUCGAUGUCUAGUGUCACUUGUCAUCCGGUUGGCAAACGUUGCUAUAAUUUUAGCUUUGCUCAUUUGAUAUAUUUCCUUGCUGAUGAAGUAUGGCUUAAUUGAUUGUUCGAAUUACGAUGGUAUGUCUUGACAUAUAAAUUUUCAUCUGUGUUCUUGUGCGUUUUCCUUUUGGAUUUUACACACUCCCUUGUAGAUUAGUUUGAUUCAUAUCUGACUGCAUUUAGUUAUGACAAUUGCCCUUCUUUAUGAUUUCCCUUCUGCGAUUUUCUGCAGUUCCGCUAUUUGGUCAUCUAUCUUUAAGCAUCCUCUGAGCAUAGAAACAGCUUAUUGCUUGCCUGCUUGGACUUGAACACUAUGUUACUGUGCCUUAUUCUUUUAUCCUAAGAUGCAACGGUUACUUCUCGAUUUCCUACUUGAGUUUUGUAUGUGAAUUGACAAAAUUAUUUAUGUGAAUGUUUUUCUCAUAUUGCUCGACCCUGAAUUCAGCAGUAAAAUUGAUGGCAACAUAUAGUUUUCAUUUUUUCCUUUUUAAGACUACUGUCAUGUGAGGCUCUGUAAUCUAUGGUUAUGGAAACAAAAUGUUGACAUGUCAAUGAACUGGGCUUCUUCAAUUUAAAGGGGGAAAUAAGACUGUAUUUGGCUUACUCUUUGUUACAUAACCAUCCAAGUCUAUUACUUUUCUGUCAUAUUAUAUGCAUUUCCUUUUAUAUCCUGUCAUUUUUCUGCCUGGUUUGUGGUUUCAGUUUAUGGUAGGGGAUUCCUAGGUGAUAGGGAUUUCUCUAAAAUUUAGGCCCAAGGGUUCAUAGAGAUAGGAGAGAUUAAGGAAGGGGGAACUAGGGCAUUUGGUUGUGUAUUCUUUUAAUUUGUGUUCAAUUGUCAGGGAUUAGGUUUUAUAUGUAGUAGUUUGAUCCAUCAUUUAAUGGCCACUGAAAACAUUGGUGUGGUUAUGCAUUUUCUGGUCCACAGAAUAUAUUUGAAUCAACUCUCAGCUUAUUGAGCUGUGGGCUUUUAUUGGAUUCGUUUUUAUCAACAAGCUCUUGAACUGAUAGGAUUCUCCGUGAUCUUUCCUUCCAAGAACAAAGACAGUCUUAUAAGCUAAUUUAGUCUGGUAAGCUGGCUUGUAUUUUGUUGGGAAAUGUGCGGGUGCUUUCUGUUGGCUUAUGUUAAAUGCAGUUUGUUGUAUUAUGUCCUUUGUCCUUUCUUUGUUUAUGCUUGUAGAAGGGGUUGCCUCGGUGGUCCGGUUGUCUUUGUAAUCUAGGCUCAAUCUCAGAGUCACUAAAUUUUGUAUCCUUGCAUGCAUCUGGUGGUGCAUUGCUACAGUCAAGAUUGACAAUACUAGGGUACAUGGUCGUGCCCUUAAUGUUCAUGUACUGGGCAUUCAAAAUCGAAACUUUCUAUGUCUUUCGGCAACCCUUUAAAAGGUGAUGGGCAAAAUAAUGUCCUCAGAAACCAAAGUAGAGAGGGUGUGUGAAAACCAAGCCAACUCUCGAUCCUAAACCGAGGGCAUUCUCGCAUCUCGCAGGUCAUCUUCUCGACGUUGGUUACGGAGUCACCAUUUGCUGGUGGUGACACAGUUAUCGACUUCAUUUCUGAAGACUGCACUGUUGCUUCAACCUCAAUGUCUGGGAAAUUCAAGUGGACCAACUAUAUAUUUUCCUUUUGGUAUCACAAUGGUUUGUUCUGCCUUGUAGAAAAGCCUAAACCAGCCAUCACCUACAGAGUCACAGUAUGUAACGCGGGCUCCAACCAAGGGCAUCGAUCCAGUGACAUUAUAAAGUUCAUCCAUCCGAUCCCAUUAAGUCAUACCAACAAUAGAAGAAUAAGAUAAUUAGCUCGCCCCCAAGUGGAAACAUAAUUAAUUAACAUAAUUUAAGGAUUUUACGGGCCAAUUAGUGCCUAAGCGAAGGCUAGCAGCACCAAAAAGUAGAAACACUGACCUUCAAGCUUAGAAAUGGAGAAAUGUUUGUAACGGUAAACGUCACGUGGUAUGCCGAUGUGGUAUUAUGAAUUCUGUGUACGUUCCAACAAGAUGAAAGACACAUGGAAACUCAUAUUCUAACAAUGAGAACAUUCAAAAUCUAGAAACUUUAUAAGACGAAAGAGAACGGAGAACGAAUUAGUUGUUGAACUUGCUAGAAUUGAUAAUCAAUGAUGCAUCCAUAGAUGCAAAUCUAGAGAAUUGAUGGAGCAUGAUGUAGCAUAGACCUAACCAUGUUGCAUAACCCAGUUCAAACUAGCACCAUUGUUGAGCCAUUAAAUGUAGUCUAUUUUUCAGAGUCAAAAUCUCUUUCUUUUCUUCUCUUUCCUGUUUCUUUAAAAGAAUAAUUGCUAUAUAUUGCUCGUUGCUUAUCUUUGCUUCCAGUACAUAAAUGUAAUGAAUCAAGUCUAAUGAAAUUAAGUUUUAUCUUAUGAUUGUGUCACUGUUUUUUUAAACAUUGCUUCUUGUACUGAACUAUGGGAUUUUUUUUUUAAUAAUUUUUUUUCUAGAUUAGUGUUGAAGUACAGUGCUGAAGUCUGUUUGUGGUUUUGGACAGAGGACCAUUUGAGGUAAGAACCUCUUCUUCUCAUUACACUUAGUUCCAUUUUGUUUUCUUAUUAACAGCUAUAGUGGUUGUCAAUGUCAUUGUGGUGUUGUUUGUUUAAAGUUAUUAAAAUGGCAUACAUGUUUUGUAUUGUGUUGAGAAGUUAUGCAACCCAUGUUGGUUAAGCUGUGGAUUAUACUUUGGAUUUUAUGAUUUAUGUUCUCUAAUGGGUUUGUGCUAUGCAUGAUAUUAGUCUUUACAUUGAUUUUUCGGAAUUGUUUUCCUUAUUAAUUUGUGGUAUUUGUUAUUAUCACAAAGGUAUCCUUUAGACAGUUAAUAUUGAGAGGUAUGAAAAAUGAAUUCAAUUUUUAUUAAGUUUGUUCAAAUAUCAUUCUCGAACAUUCUUAAAUAUUGAUGACCAGUAAUCAUUUUUCUUUUGUAGAUCCACUCUUUUUAACGGCUUAUUUAGUUAAGAUUGUGAAUUUCAGCUUUUGGGCAAGAUUUCUUGUAAUUAUGUUGUCGAAAAUUGUUUGUUUUUGGUCUCUUAAGUAUAUUUUUAUAUUUAAAUUUUCUUGGUUUUGGCUUCUUCUUGACCAUUGGCAUUUCCUUGUUUUGUUUCUUUUGAAAAGGAGGAUGAUUGAUGAGUUUGAGAAGAUCAAGCAACAAUUGGCAUUGUUUGGGAAUUCCACGAUAUUAGAUCACAGUCCCUAUCCCACAGGUGUUAAAGAUCAUGACUACCAAACUCAGAAUUACAAAAGGCAUAGUAUACAUGCAUUUUUUUUUAGUCGAAACCUAGUCUUAGAGUGGGGAAAUAAUUAUUGCAGAACUUGGGUUUUCCAAGGGCAAGAAUAUAUGGAGCUUGGCCUCCAAUCUUUGAGUAGGGAGUUCUUCACUCGUUUAUGUAUACUAAUUUUGGAUAUGUUAUGUGUACCUAAAUAACUAGUAUGCUCUUGUGUACUUUUCAAUGAGAGAAACUUUUAUUCAUAUCAUUUUCUAUUGAUCUAUUGAUCUGUUUAUUUAAAUUUAUUGUUUUUUGAAAUUACAAUAUGUUAAGGAACAAAAGGUUAAUAUUAUCACAAAACAGAACAUAAAUAAAAUAAUUAAUAACACCUACAAUAUAAAUAUUUUAGCGACCAAAUAAGUAAGCUUUAGCGACCAAAUCCGGUAGUCAUCAGUACCUAUUGGCGACAAACAAAUCUAUUUGGUCACCGAAUCCUUCCUCAGUUCGCAGUAAAUUUUGGUAUUUUUGCAGGAAGCAAUCUUUAUAGGCGACCAACUGAUUACUGUAAGGUGACGAAAUCAAUUGGUCGCGUAAAGGUUUUGACGACGAAAAUUAGUUUUCGUCGCCCUUUGUCAUCUGGUACUUUCAACCACAAGCCUUAGGCGACAAAGCUAGUGACGAAAUUAUUUCGUCGCUAAAGGGUUUUGGCGACAAAAUGUCAGCUUUUAGCUACCAAAGGUAGUGGUCGCCAAAAGGGGUUUUCCUUGUAGUGUAGCUACAAGGGAGUUCAAAGAUGUUUCCAUAACAAACCUUUGAAUCUCUUCAGUAACUUGGAACACAAUAUAAUCUGAAAUUACCAGGGCCGGUCCUGACUUUUGGGUGGUCCUAAGUGAUAAAUUAAGAUAUAUUUAGUCAUAUAUCCAUUCUUAGCACUAAAACUGUAAAUAAACCCUACACUAUUUAAUUUCUACAUACAAACCCAAAAAAUAACAAUUGGCCAUAUUGAAUUUAAUUUUGAUUAUUAAAUUACUUUGAUGUCCUAUUGAGUGUUUUGGGCUUUUUUAUGAGGUUUUUGGGUUGGGUUUAUUUUAAGAAAUCAUGGCAGUUUUGUAAUUUAAAAGAAGUUAUAAGCCUUUUUAUUAUGUUGUAAAUAAGUUUUGGGUGUGUUUCUAAAGUCCAUUUCAUAUAGGGUUUGUUUUAUAAUUUGGGCUCCUAUAUUGAGUAUAAUAGUGAAUCUCCCAUAAAUUAAUAAUGGGGCCCCUUCUUUAGUAUACAAUAAAGCUUGAUACGAAAGGAAAAAGAAAGUGUUCGUUCAUUCUUUUUGGUUUAAACAUAAUAAUUUCAUUCUAACAAAACAAAAGUACAUGAAUCAUAAAAAAUAAAAAUUAUAUUUAGGUCCAUACAUAGUUAGAUAGCUUCUAACAUUCAACAAAACAACCUAUUCUUUGACAGUAAGUUCUCAAGUAGUCUCUUUUUUGGGCCCAAAGGUGUUCAUUAACCCAAUAAAGAGAAUCAACAAACCACCUAACAAAAGAUAAAGGCCAACCCCAACAACAAUCUGAGAAAGGAAAAGCAAGAACAAAACUCAACAGAGACCAGCAUAUAAGGUUUAGGGUGGGAAAAAAUAGUUUGUUGGAUAGGGAAAAAUAUAAAGAAAAAUUCAUAAAUCUGAUUACCUUUUCAAAUUCCCAUGCUCAUCUCCUCUUGGUCACCAUCAAUCUCAAAGACAAAGAUCAAAAAAGAAAAAUUGUGAGCUUUUCAGUGAGAGAUCGAUUCUUUUAGGGUUACGAUAUGAGAAAAGAGGUAUAAGAUAAACUGAAAAUAAUAGGAGAGAGAUUGGGAGAACAUAGAAUAAUAUGGUGGAUUAAAUAGAGAGCAUGUUCCAUGGAGAAACUAGGAGUAGGAGAACCAAAGUCUUUUGGAAAGAGGAGAGCGUAGGGAAGAGAAAGUUUGUUUCUUUAUGGGCACAUGCUCCUUAUCGUUGUAUAUGUGGAAGUUGUACCCCCUUCUACUAUAUGAAUGCAUUUAGUUCAUGGAAAAUGAGACUUAAGUAUGGGAAAUGAGGCUUGGGGAUGGAAAAUUAAUUGUUUUCCCAUGUUUGGUAAGUCUAGGCAUGAGAAAUGGCUACUAGGCACAUGGAAAAAUUUGGGGGAAAAUGUCCUUCCCCCCGGGUUUCAUUUUCCUUUCACAUGGGAAACUUUGGGAAAAUGGGCCAGUAUUAAAUGCACAUUUUUCAUGAUCAUUUUGUCCCUAUCAACAAUAUCUCAUGUAAUGUAUUAUUUUUUUAUUUGAUUUAAUAUCGGUAUAAUUGAAAAUUUAUACACACUUUGUUUUCCAUUCCUACUCAAAACAAACAUGUGAAAGGAAAUAAAGUGAUAUCUCCGGUUACUUUCCCAUCAUUACCAACCAUGGAAAAUGAAUCUUCCAUUUCCCAUGCCUUGGGAAAUGAUAUAAGAAGUGAUAUCUCCUCAAAUCCGUUCCGUAAACCAAACGGGGCCUAUAUGUAACAAUUGUGCAAGAUGCCCUACAAAAACCACAACAACAUGCCCACCAACCUAAAUGAAAAAAAUAACUGAGUGAUAUGUACAAAGAUUAAUAGUAUAACCAAACAUGUAAAAUUUAAUACCAAUUGUUUGUGCAAAUAUUCUCACGGGAGAAUAUCUGAGUGAUAUGUACAAAGAUUAAUAUAGUAUAACCAAACAUCUAAAAUUUAAUACCAAUUGUUUGUGCAAAUAUUCUCACGGGAGAAUAUCCGCUUCUAGAUCCUUCGCACUUUGAACUUCUUUCUCUCUUUUCUUCGGUUCCUGUAAAAAAGACCUGAGUAAAUAGACCACACUCGAGGGGUGUUGACCAAAGGCCCUCCGAUGCCUAAGUUAGUUCGAUUGUAUCUAGGUGAAACAAUAGCUAAAAAAUUGUACGAAGUUUUCUCUGUGGUGAGAACCGGGUGGCUGGAGCCAUGUGGAGAAACAAAUAUGGAGGAGUCGUCGGCUAGAGAGAGAGAGGGGCAGAGAUUUUGGGGUAUUUUUAUAGGGUUUCAGAACUAGGUUUAGAGUUAACUUGAGUGUUGAAUAAAGCCAUGUAUUUAUGGGGCUCUAGGCAUCUAGGGCUUUUCAAAGAAUAAACUCUUAUUUGGAAGGAGUUUAUUCUUUCCCCAAAUUGUAGAGAUUGAGUCCAUAAGGAUUUGAUUGGGAUCAAAUCUCCUAAUUUGAUGAUGAUAUCUCCAAAUUAAGAUAAUAUCUUAAUUGGUAAUAUUAUCUUUUUAAAUAAUGAUAAUAUCCCUGUUUUUAGUAUCAAUUAAUUGCCAAAUAAAUGAGUUUAAUUAAUUGACCCAUGAGAUAUUCUUCUUGUCCAUGUGACUUCUCGUGAUUGGAAGCCAAAUCAUUUGCUCCCACAAAUGUUGGACCUUUUGCAUGGCGCUUGUGUGGCAUGUAGGAAAUGAAAUUAUUCUUUGAGCUUUCCAAUUGUAUCUUGAUGUUCUUCUUUAAAUUGGACUCCUUUUGCAAAUUGGGUUCCCAAUUAAAGUGGGCUUUUGACUUUCCUUGGAGUUAGGCUCCCAAUAGAAAUAGGCUUGUGUUUUCUUCUUGACUUAGGAUGCCCAACCUUCAUAAAUACAAGACUCCUCCUCACUUUCCUUCAAAUCGCGAACUUGUCUUCUCUACUUUCUAGCUUGAGAGAGAUCUUGGGGAAUUUGUACUGCUUGUCGAAGAGAGGAGUUGCCGUGCAUCUCAAGGUAAGUGAAGCAUGUGUAUUUUUUUCUUCGUUUUUUCUCCUUUGCGGCGAGGACUGGUCCGAUGGGUUCUGCCAAUUGUCGUCUUGACAUCGCUAUCGAGGACCAACGGUAGGAUGGAAUAGAUAGGCAAAUUGACAGUCGCGCGGCUGGAUAGACUAGAUAGGCGAAUUGAUAGUCGCCCAACUGCUGCUGCCGCUGCUUGCAGUGUUGGAGGCUCCGCUGCUUUUUCCGCUUCAUGUGUCGUGAGCUAGCUACUAGAUUGUGACUCUUGCUGCGAUUCAGUAGUUGGGUUGCGUCGCGCGUCUUGCUACGGGCUCUGGUGGCAGUAGGCCACUGCUACUACCUUGGCGAUUGUUGGUUGCAGCGGCGGUCUUUUUUUCUUUAGCGAUGGGGCUCGCUGCAACUUGGGCCUUUUGCUCGAGCUGCUCCGUGGCUUGCCUUGCAACUCAUGCUUCUUCUUUUUCUUUUUGAACCUCAAUUCUAGAGUUUUGACAUGCUAUAUGAAUUACAAUUUUCUUCCCUUUUUGGAGUUGUUUAUUGAUCAUGUCUUUAGAGGAUGGUAGCUGAGCACCAAGCUCUCAUGUGCCUUAGUAUCUGUAGGGAGGCUCCAAAGUGCAUAAGAGGAGAUUUGUGACUAAUCUCCACCUCGUUACGUCUGAAGCUCAGUUCUAGAAGUGGCCACUUAUGCUUCUGCCAUUCCUGAUUACGUGCAUGUUAGGAUGGUGGAGUCUUUCACUGAUGAUGCGCCUUGUGUAGAUGCGAAUGAUCCAGACGCUAGAAUCAUCACCUUCCGUCCCUUUUAUUUUUCCUUGGGCUUCAUGUUCCCGUUGUCAAAUUCUUCAGGGUGGUGUUUUGCACCAUGGAGUGUGCUUGAAGUCAGUGUACUCCAAACGUCUACCAAGCCAUCAUGUGCUUUGAGAAUUUAAGCCGUUUCUUCAAGCUGGAGCUGACGGUGUUGGAGUUUUUCUACUUCUUCAAAAUGGGGCGAUACAAGAAGUAUGCUCAAGUCCGUGUAUGCAAAGUCAAGUUGUUUGACAAUUUCUUUAGAGUUUGAGUAUUUAGGUUUGAUUUUGUUAUGAAAAAUUUGUUGAUUCUCAAAAUAAAGAAAAACACAUAUGUAGCUCAGAAAAUAACCAAACAAACACAAUUCAAGAGAGAAACCCCUAAAUUGCAGUGAAUAGUAACUUCUGUCUUGAACAGUGUUUUAGGGAUUUUUUUUGUCCAUUUUUGAAGCAAAAUACAUUUCUAAAUAGGGAAUGACCUAAUUAACACAACUCACUACUUUGCUGUGACAUAUGAGAAUUUUUAAGGUUUUAAUGUCAUUUUGGUAGGUCAAAAACGUGUUUAAAGUUUUGAAGAUAUGAAAAAUCAAAUUAAAAUAUGUUUUUCCAUAUUCUUUAAUAUUCUUGAUAUUUAGAAGAAAAAAAACAUGUUUAAUCCAUCUUCAAAUUUUAAACAUAACCAUAAACUCAUCAUGGCAUAAACAGAUAAGAAAUCGUAAUAGGUAUGGUUGAAAAACGAUUUCAAUGUGUGCGAAUAACUAGGUGCUCUGAUACCAUUGUUAGAAUUCUUUAUAUGCAUGUUCAAGAUCUUCCACACAAUCUGAAAUACGUAAAGACAUACCUGGCCCAAUAUUCCUUGAGUACACGACCUCUGAACUCAUUCAACCGUAGCAACAACAGUACUUCUGCUCUCUCUCAGAAUCUGGUUAAGCUCUUUCUUUAUGAUGAGAUUAGGGUUAGAGAACGUGUCUAACGAGAGCAGGGUCUUAAGCUUAUAUAGGGGUAGGUCAAGUCGUCUCUACUCAUCACCAAUGGCCGACUUGACUAAUCUUCCAAGCCCACCAAGCAAUGGUUCACGGAAAAAAAAGAAAUAAAUAGGACCCCUUAAUAGGCUUCAAAACCUUUCCUUAUUCCACAAGGUUUUGGGCCUUCAGGUAUAACCUAAUUUAAACUUUUAUCAAAAUAUGAUAUAACUUAAUAUCUACUGCACCGAUCUAAAUAGGAAACAUAACAUUUGCGUCUCUCGAAUGACGCUUCUUGUGGGUUGCAUAUCCCGAAGUACCCUUAGGAAACUGAUAAGAUGUACUUAACAUUAAUUAUCGUAUAAUUAGUUGACUUUAAGGACAUAUUACUAACAUUUGUCACAUAGUCAUUUAGCAGUUUGACUAAUAGUCUAGCUAACUACGGGAUGAAUUUGUAUGUUUUUUGUGAUAUUGUUCACCCGUUUUCGUGUUUACUCCUGAGGUGGAAGGGCGAAGUUCUCCACUGGCUUGAAGACCAUUUGUUGGUCGAUAAGUCAGCUUUCUUUGGUGUGUGAGCGUGCCACUGCUAGCGAUGUAAAUUCUAGCAGACUUCUUUUAGAGUGGAUAACUUGCGCCCCAAGUUACUAACUUCUAAAACAGAUGAUUGUGAAUUUGGGUGAGGAAUAUCUCCCAAGUAAGUUCUUUUCUUGCCUCAGACUGGUGAGGACUUUCAUAAUUUAUCUCAGUAUCAAACAGCUGUUCUGGCCAGAAAAAUUUGAUAGAAGUUGGGCUUUUUUAGGUAGAACUGCCUUUUACAAAACAAUAAAUAUGCAUAUCGACGCUAGGAAGGUUAAAAGACGGCCGGAACUCCGUUUCUGCUUGGAUGGAAGGCUCUGGCUUGGGCUGGACUGGACACACCUAGGUCGGUCCAUACUGCUUCGUGACUUCAAAUGCUAGGUUGAGCUAUAAAUCGAUACCAAAGUUCGAUUUUGGCAGAGCUUUAUGUUUACUUCACUCUUCGUGAGGCCUUUUAGUAGGCAGAACUGCAGCUUCUUCAGUUUGAAGAGGCAGAAGUGGCUGUUCUCGAAGGCUUGGUGGGCUAGGGAUUGCACUACGAGCGUUGUUCUGCUUGAGCAGGACUUUUCAUAAGUUCGCUGAGGUCUCCACGUUUGUGAAGAUUCAAAUUCUGCUUGCCUUGGCUUUUGCUGAACCAAAUUUGUAACGAGAGAGAUCUCGUUUUUAGAAGACUUAUUUUCUAAGUCUGAACUUUGGAAUUCUGAUCUAAAGCUGGUUUCUCUUGGAAUCCAAGUGAGCUUUUGGUUGUUUUCUUGUUGUUUGUUUUUUUAUUUAUUGAUGAAUUGAGUGUCCUUUCCUUCCUUGCCUACUUCUGCUUUUAUAAGAGACCCUCUUGGGGAGGUGGUUUCUUUUUAAUUUUAAUAAUGGGCGGUAAAAAGAUCUCCUAUAAUGUAAAGUAAAAGGGAUUUUUAUCAAUCAUGGCAGAUAGGCUCUCAGUAGUCACCUCCUAAAGUAGUCCCUUCCCUGGUUUCCUGGGUGACAGAUUUUUAUUUCAACCAAUGCCACCAUCUGUGUGGGCUAAAUUUUAUGGCGGUUGGUUUUCUUUUUGUAUUUUCUGAACAACUCUCUGUUUCCCGUUCUAACUUUAGAAAGUGUGAUCCGUGAAUUCCUCGGAAGAUGGUGUAUUGCUCUGGAGCAAAAUCUCCGAACACAUAUGGGUUUUGGUCUUCUGUUGGCAGUGCUUCAGAGAUGUCCCUCUCAUAUUUUAUUUUAGUUGGAAUUGCUGACUUUUCAAAACUGAGGUAGUCACGUGGGUAUGUUUUUAAUCCCUUGGGUUUGAACCCAACAAAAAUUACGGGCUGAUCCUUGAAGCCCAAAUGACAGUUUGGUCUUUCUUGGGCUGAGGGCUUUGUUUUCGACAUCCUGGCGUGAAGCCCAAUCUGUCUGGAUCCUAAUUUUGUUAUCCUCAAGUUUUUUGGGCUGGGCAGGUAAUUUUACCAUGGGCUUGUCUUUUGAACUUUGGCGUGCUAGAUUUAGGCCCAAACAGAUAUAAAUUUUUUUUUUUUUGGCAAGAUUUUAAAGCUCGGGUACUAACUUGAAAUGACCUCUAAAGUUUGAGUAGUUUUAUGUAGUUAACCCUUUAAUUUAUUUAGCCAAAUUAUGGACACACUAAAGACUAUUAUCUGAAUUUUUUAGAUUUUUAGAAUAUUAACCACUCGAGUGACAAUAUUCUAAAUCUUGAGAAAGAAAAAUUGGCCAAAAGUCCUUAAUUGAGAAAUUAUAGAAUACUACAGUAAUAUGACCACGUGGUAAAUCUUGUACACAUGUUAUAAUAUGGUUGAACGAAAGGGUUUAUUUUCCCCUUUUUAAGGAAUAGUAUCAAUAAAUAUCGACGUAUAUUAUAACAUGUGCACAAUAUGUACCACAUGACAGUAUUAAACACUCUCCUUAAUGUGUUAGAAAAGGUUACUUUUCCAAAUUUCUCUUGGAUAUUUGUGUUUAUUGACUUAUUAAGCAAUUAAGUUGCUUUCACGCUACUAUAUUUUGUAUUACAUAUUGGUGGAUUCUAUUAUGUAGUCAAAGGUUCAACAUUUGACCCUCGACCCAAAAAAAAAAUUAAAACCUUCUUUUAAAAAACUGCCAAAGCAAAGGAGGAAAAUCCAGUAGAGGAGAAAAAGUACCACAACACGAAACAACAAAAACAAAAACCUACUCCCCCCACCCGCCCUCUAUCUGACUCAAGUACAUCCAAAAGCCAAACUAGUGCUCAAUCCUCCGAUAUGAACCAGGUGUGCUCCUUAAGACCAAAUUGAGCCAAAGAAUGAGCCACCCUAUUUCCUUGGCUAGGUUGAUAGUGCACCUCUACAACACUCAAUCGUUCCAUCAAAAGCCGAACAUCUUAAACAAAGUUACCAAUAUUAGUCCAUAAUACCUCAAUGUCAUUUAAGUAACUAAUAGCUUCCUGCGAAUCAAUAAUAAGAUUGUGAAAACUUUUCGCAUAAAGCAAUAGUAGGCCCUCCCACAACGCUGUUAAUUCAAUUUCCAAAAUGCCCAAACUCACCGGACCCCAAAAUUUUCGACUUGCCUUACAGCACCAAAUUGCAUGUACCGCAUCUCCACCCCUCUUCCCACAAUGUAAGCACAAGAAGGAAGGAAGCACCUUUCACUGGACCAACUGCACACCAGUAGGUAAAAUAUCAGAAUCAUCUCUCCAAAGGAACAACUUAAUCUUGUUUGGGAUCUCCAAUUGCCACAAUUUUUUCCAAGAAACCUUGUGCUCUUAAUUUUCAGUUCCAUCACAUUGUUGAAUUAAUUUUCAGAUGAAACCAAUGGCUGAUAAUAUCAAUUUUCUUCCCAAAGAGUUUGGAGACAUAUUGUAGCCAACUAACCUUAAAUUUUAUACACACAAUACAAAUGACCUAAUCCAAUUCCAAACUUUGGUUGCUCUAAUCUAAUCAGCAUCCAAAGCAAAACUAAUCUUGAUUAAUUUACAACAUAAUCAUCAUUAUCUUGUAGCAGCCACAGCCUGACAUAAUUAAAAUACUGGGUUUGGUUUCAAAGAAAGGGUUUGUUUAUUCAGCCAUGUCUGCCUCACCACCAAUACAUGAGAUAUUUUCAAAUUCAUUAAUUAAUUAAUUAAUUAUUUCAACAAUGUCAAUGGAAAUCAUUAAUUAAUCAACCACAUGAUUUCUAAUUUUAUCAUGCCGUCACUAGUUCAUCGUUAUCGUGCCGUCACAAAUAAGAAAUUUGAUUGAUCUCAUGGGACGGCGACUGGUCCCACCUUUCCCCAUCAUUCUGUCAAUCACUCAUCGAUCACCAACAAUAAAUGUCGAAAGUGUUCGUUUUCUUUUUUCUUGGUUGAAUUUUUGUAAAUCUUUUUUAGAACUAAAUGAGUUCGAAUGCUUUUUUUCUUCACAUGAAAAUGCGCGAAACCAAACUGUGCAGGUGAUUGAUUGGAUGAGCGGCAUGCAGCUGCUGGAAUUUCCCUUUGUAAUCAUUGUGCGUGCAGGAAACUUCAAACAUUAGGCGAAUUCUAAUAAGCCCAUCAUUCUUUUGAAAUUUUUUUAUAGUAGAUCUAGUAUUUAUUUGAGUGUAUGUAAUACUUUUUGUGGUGUAUAUAGAGGCCCUUCUUACUUGGUUGAUGGUUUUUUUAUAUUUAAUUAAAGAAGGUCAUGAUUUUAAAUCUCAUAGACGACAGUUUUUGAAUAAAGAAAACGAAUAGUUCAUUUCUAAAAAAUGAAAUGUUUUGUUUUUUUUUUCGCCAAUAGUUCAUUCGUAAUGAAAUUUAAGAGAAUUAAUGAAUCCAAAAAUGGUGAGAUAAGUGACAACUACUUAGAUGGAAUUUAUAAUUUCAAAAUUCCAAGUAUUUUUUUCGGGUUACUUUAUGUUUUCACAAAAAGUUCAAAAGUUUUGGAAAUUCUAUGUUUCGAAUUGUUUCACAAAACCCCUUCGAUUAAUUUUCUGCCUACAAAUUAUUGAUGUCAUAAAACAAAAUUUUCUCAAAAUAAGUUAACCUCUAAGAUGUUCUACCUUAUCACAACUUGCCCUAAUACGAUAUGAGGAAAUAUUGUUCCCCGUUAAUGAGGAAAUGUUACUUGGUGCCGUGCUUGUUGAUGAGCAUUUAAUAAUUAAAUUAAUUUUGAUUCAAAUUCUUGAAAUGAUAAAGAUUUCAUAGAAAAUUAUCUUUAUUCUCAUUCUCGUUUCAGAUAAUUAGUAAAUAUUUUAGUGAGUAUUCCUCAUUCCAAUCCUUUCACAUUUUGAUUCUGUUCUCUAUUGGUCGUACAAAACAUGGCAUAAAUGAGAAAUUAUACUUAGUAGAAGUACAAGUUUAUUUAAUCCGAAAAGGUUCCCUCAAGUUAUUAAGGCCUAAUGUUAACAUAGUUUACAUAAAUAUUUCUGAGGAACUGUCAUUGUCAUUGAUCUUCAACCUAGAAGUUCAAUGCACAUGCAUGAUACUGUUAACAGAAAUGCUUAAACAAAUUUCUGAACCAGAUUCUGAAUAGCAAGAAAUUCAUCCAUCAAAACAAAAAGAAAAAGAAAAAUCAUGAGUAAGCAAUAGAAACUGAAGGCUCACAAAUGAUAAUGCAUAGUGUUCCAUUAAAUACAGCUACAAUCAAUAAAAGCAUACAUAAUAACACAAUAGAUGAUCAAGUCCAAAAUGUACAAGUCCUACAAUCGGCAUUUCCAUCCCGGGAGCUGAAAAACGAGAGCUCGUGAUGGUCGGAGCAUUUGAGAAGGAGAUCACAAAACCGUCUCCCUCUCGGGUGGUCCAGCCUACCUACACAUAUGCUAUAUACCCUACAGACAUUAUAAUACUACCCACUAGCAACACAAAGCAUGAAACAGAUUGCCACUGCUGAAAGGCCUGAAAAAACAAGCAGCCUUUUGCAUAGCAGAUUGGCCUGGAGAGAGAGUGUGAAGGAAUAAAUGCAGGAAUUUAAAGGAACUGAAAGUCAGAACCAAAGUGAAUUUGAAGCUUCAAAGAUCCCUUGUAAGAAAAAGUCACAAGGCUUCUAGGAUCAUUGGCUGUGUUUAGAAAAUCUGCAACCAGCUGUGAUGAGAAAUUAGAAGAGGGACUGAGGACUAAACUGAUAAAGUAAGAAGUAAAGGAAGAAAGACUAUGUGAGUGGAGGAGUUUGAAAUGCAAUUUGGUAGGUGUUUGGAAGAUUUGUCAAGGGAAUUUUGCCUAAAACUACUUCUACAACCUAGAGGUGUGAGUGAGAACUGGGGACAGCCUAAAGACCAUAAUUCCCUUACCACUUUGCAGAGCUCAAUCUUUAGAAAGAAAAGAAUAAUUAACUUUUCAAUCUUGGUCCUUCCAAAAGAAGUUCUUCAAGGGAUAUGAAGAGGAAGAGGAGGAGGCCGAACCCGAGUGGUCUUGCUGCCUUUCAAGUUCAGGACAAAUGUUAUUAAAGUUCUGCUGAUUUGGAUUGGUAAAAGGGAGAUGUGAUUGCAGCAAAAGAUUGUUGUUGGUGUCCAAAUCAUCCCACACAGGACUUCCUGGACCCCAACCUGCUGGAAUUGCAUUCAUCCAAGCCUCUGCCAUAUCCCCCCAAACCAAUUCCUCCGGCUGUGAAUUACCUCCUCCUGCAGCAUUCAUAUUCGCCUGAAAUUCAUCACUCGUUUUAGCUUCACUUGACCCCAAUCCCGAAUCGUCAUCGGUAUUGUCUUCUUCGGUAUGUGCCUGUGGUGGCGGUGGUGGUGGCAUUGCCUCCGUAUUUGAAGCUUUAGGGUUUUUCUGAACUUUACGAGAUUGCUUACGGUUCCUGGUUGUGGUAGGCAUUGAACUUUCGUGAGCUGUUGGAGAAGUAGCUGUUGAGCUUGGAGCUGUGGAAACUGAUGUGUUGUCUUUAUUGAGGAACAGCUCAGGGAAAUUAAGCCUAGCAUUCUCUCCCCUCAACUUGAAGGCCUCGCGGUCAUAAGCCAUGGCAGCAUCUUCAGCUGUGUCAAAGGUGCCGAGCCAGAGGCGAGUCCUGUUUCGAGGGAGACGAAUUUCAGCUACCCAUUUCCCCCAAUGCCGUUGCCUCACUCCCCUGUAAAGCUUGGUAGUAUUAUAAGGCAUUGCCGGCGGUCGAAACAAUGGUCUUCCAUCAGGCCCCAACCUGUUCAUCAUCAUAACUCUCCCUCUUGGACUUAAAUUCAAAGCAUCACUCCAAUACUGGAGAAUUUGAUGCUGCUGCUGUUGUUGCCAAGUUGUUGAGUCUCCGAGAAAGGGCGGGGGAUAACUCAUGCCAUGUUGCUGCUGCUGCUGCUGCUGCUGAGAAGCAAAAGAGAUCAUUUGCUGCUGAUUUUGUUGUUGUUGCUGUUGUUGUGAAAAUGGUGAGGGGUAUAUAGGCACAGCUGUGGUAUUGAAUUGGUUGGGAAAUUGAACAGGCUGCUGAGAGCCAUCAAAAGCAAAAGGAAAAACUAUUCUUGAAGAUGAUGAAGAUGGACAAGGAGUGGUUGAUGAAGUUGCUUGAUGAGCUGAAGAAGCAGAGGAUUGAAUUGGGUCUUGACGUUCAGGGCUCUUGAUUUUCUUGAGAGGCCUCUUUGACAUCAUGGAAGCUUCAUUAAAACCCAGCUUCCAUGGCUGGCUCUCGAAGCUAAAACCAAGGUCCUUGUCUUCGUUAAUCUCCCAAUCCAGGCUUGUUUCCAUCUCGCUUUCCUCCACACCCUUCUUGGAUUUACCGCUUUUUUUAGCCGCAGCCAUACUUGCUGAUUUUACCUUCUCGCUUUCUUUCUGAAUCCAAGGCUCUCAAAUACAAUCCCAGAAGCCAAAAAGAGAUUGAGAUUCAAGAGAAUUUCAGAUGGGUCACCGAAGUAAAUACGCCAAGAAAAAACAAAACAAAACAAAAAAAUCGAUUCCGAUAAAAGAGAAGAAAAUUCAAAUAACCCAGAAACAAAUUUUGGCAAAGGAAUAAAAAAAAUACAAAGACUGAAUUUUGGAAUCUGGGUUUCAAUUUGAAAAGCUAAUCCGAUCGAACGAAAAACAGAAUCGGAUACCAAAAGCGCAAAAUCUUGAGGAACCCAUCUAAAUUCUCUGAAUGUAGAGCUUGAAUUCAACAAAGAGAACGAGCAGGGCACGGCAAGUAACGAAUAUGCGAGAGGUUGUUGAUGAAGUGCAGAGUGUUUGGGUGUGAAGACGAAAUGUUUUGGUGCGGCUAGAGAAAAGCAGAGGAGCGAGAACAGAGGAGUAUCUAAAAAUCUAUGUGAGGAGAGACGGAGCAGGAGAGGGGGGGUUUAUAAGAGAGGAGAUAAAGAUUUUGAAUAAAGACUUUUUGAGGAAAGAGAGAGAGAGAAUAUGUAGAAGUCUCGGGAUUGGUUGGCUCUGCUUGGGCCCCACACGGCUUGCUUUCCUUACUUACACUCCAAUUUCUCUCUGUACCCACUAACCACCCCCCAUCUGUCCUUCCGUCUGUUUUUAUCUGUAAUUAAAGCAAGGGGAUUUCACAAUUUGUUUUAAAAAAUAAAUAGAGUAAAGGAUUUACUAGUGUAGUGGUUUGAAAUAUUUAUUUUCUUAGGUAAAGUUCUGGAUUCGAAUCCUAGCAUUCAUAUUGUGUGUGUGAGUUUAAUAUGUUAUCGCCCCUUUCAAUAGAAAAGAUCCUAAAAAAAGAAAGAAAAAGGAAAUAUGUUGCUUGUAUCCGUACAGUUUAUGUGGCAUGUAUGUGUGUAUUGAGUGUUGCAAGUAUUUGACUGCUACAAAAUUAGCUUCACAAAACAUGUGUUGAAUUGAAUAGUAAGAUGAGUGAAAUCUUGUAGAAAGUACCAAAUGGCUUGAAUAAGUUGUUUGAAUAUUUAUCAUUUGCCUCAUUGGUCCCAUCCCGGUAGGAGGGGGGUGGGAUAAGAAGUCUAGAAUGUUGGACCCUCGUUCGAAUUAUGAGUUUUGAACAUUGCAUUCUAAACAUAUUCCCAACUCCGUGUCAACUCUUUUCUCAUUUUCUAAUUUGGGACUUGAGUUGUUCCUGGAAGAUUUAGGUUAGUUCUAGUUGCAUUUCUACAGAAAAAAGGCCUAUUUUAUUUUGCUUUUUAUUUCUUUUAAAUUUCCUUGCAGUAGUAGCACACGUGUUAUCAUUUCGUAGAAAUCGUAAUUUUGUCGAAUCAAAACUAACGAAAUGAAAACUGCAUUUCUCCAGAAUAAAAACUGUAUGUCACUAGACCAAAUGAUCAUUAUGCAUCUUACUUUCAUAAAAUCUCAUAAUUCGAUCACAACUCACGAAAUUCAUAAAAUCAACUUGAUUUCAUGUGGAUUCAUUUUAUGUAGUUGGAUUAAAUUGGAUACAAAUUUUGAAAUUUUUUAUUACAACUAUGUUUGGUAAUUUUAGGUCCGAUAAAAACAAAAUAAUUUUUCACAAAUAUGCCCAUUCUAGCAUGCCAUUUUAUUAUUAAAGUAAAUCAUUCAAGUUUGAUACUUGAGAAAAAUUUGUAACACAUAGGAACCAAUUAAAAAUUGAUAAGUGACAAAUUGCGGGCAUAUUUUAUUUUUAUUUUUUUCCCAAAUAGGCUCUUUAAAUUAUUUUAUUAAUAUUAUAAAAUAUUGUGUUAGAAUGAUCUAUUUAUGAAAAUCACCCCCUUAUAUUACAGUAUUCUUUACUUUUUCAAACUGCUGAUGGAGUAUGAUAUAAUAAAACAAGAUAUUGGGCUGGCAAAUGGUCAACCAAGUAGAAAUGAUCAUUAAACCCUAAACCCUAAACCCUAAAGAAAAGUUACGUCACCAAUUUUCCAACCCCAGCCGGCCAGCCCAAUCAUUUACCAAAAAUGAAGUUACUAAUAAUAAAGUUUCCAAGUAAAUAAUUUCAUAAUUGCUAUAAAAUAAAUAAAUAAUUUAAUAAUUAGGAUUUAAACAUGCUUUUAGAAAAAGAAAAAGAAAAGUUGAAGUCACUUCAAAGAGAUUUUAGACAUGCUUUUUUCUUUAAUUACAGAACAAAAAAUAUCUUCAGAGUUGUGAUACGUGGUCAAAUCUUUAUUAUGGUGAUUGGAUUGUGUGGUCAAAUUUUUAUUUAUGAUCACCUACCUCUCACAUACAGAGAGACGUUUAAGUAAUUUUAAGCGGUUUACUAAAAGAGUCCUAGUGAAAUUAAGGUUUAAUUUGAGAUUACUUUGAAAAUAAUUAGUUGUAAAGUAAAAUAAUUUUAUGUUUGAUAAACAAUAUUUUUAUAGUUAUUUUUAAACUCUUCCUAUAUCUAUAAUGUUAGAGUUUUUUUAAACAAAAUUUUUUAUAUAUUGUUCGUAUGACAUAUAUGCUAAUUCACGUGACAAAUACAACGUGCAAGUAAGCGAAAAAUGCGUCAAUCGGGCUGCUUAUCUGUAUACAUACUUUAAACCAACUGUUUUAGCAUGUCAAAGAAAAAUUUUAAAAAAAAAAAAAAAUUGCAUAAGCUCAGAGUGUUAAGCUAAUUAAUAAGCAUAAGCAUAUAAUGUAUGGGGUUUGUUUGUGUGAAACAAGUGAUCCACGACUCCUCCACGUUAGAGGGCUCUCACUUUCGGUGAGAGCCAUUAGAAAAUAAAAUUGUCAUAUCUCCUUUGUCGUUCCGUAAGUCAACAAACAUAAAACGGUUUCCUCAAAGGGGCGGUGAGAAUCGGCACGUGUCGGUGGUCCACUCUUCAUCUUUAAUCAUUUUCUUCUUUUUUUCUUUUUUUUUUUCUAUGAAUAUUUGUCCAAGUCCACUAAACAAAGUUGCUUGUCUUUUUACAAAUUAUCAUGCCCCAUCAUAGAUAUUUUGGGGAGUCUACAUAAAUUCAUAUUGAUGGUUGAAUGCUACGCGUAAAUUCUUUUAGUUUGAGAUUGUGAAUUUGCUCUGAUGCUAUUCUAGACAUUCAUUAAAUUAUAAAAUAAAAAAAUGAAUUACAGUAAAGUAAAUUGUUUAAAAGAAAAAAAGAAAGUAGCAAUAACAAUAACCUUCGACUUCCCCUAACCGUUUGUGAUACAUCCAUUGUUUAAGCAUGUAGGAUCUAACAUGUUUCUGAAUGUGUUAGAAAAUUCACAUAUGUGUUUUUGGAUGACCAUAUAGAGGUGUUGGCGAUGGUGAUUGAGAGCUUCUACUUUGGUUCUUUUAUAGGAAAUUCCUAAACUGCCUUAGAAAGUGAGUCUUUUAGUCGGUCUAGAGAUUUUCGAGGCCCAGGGCAUCAUUGAAAAAUAAUCAUGUGCACAAAUAACUCGACAAAAACAUGUUGUAUUAUUGUAUAUAUAAAUUUUAUAUUAGAAAAAAGUUGAAAAUUUUACAACCAUAAAAAUGAAAAAUCAGGCCUCAAAGAAAAUACCAUUUUAUUUUUGUACUAUCUAACUUUUUAUAUAUAAUCAGUCACAAGAGACAAUACAAAAAAAUAAAGUAGUAAAUAGAAGAAUCCAAAAUGCUGGUUUCCAAACUCCUUUUUAAUGUAAUCCAAAACUCAAUAAGACGUUCCACCAUUAAAGGAGUUUUUGAACAACUUUUACCAGUCGAAAAAUUUGACCAUCUUUAAGAUGAUUGGCCAGAAAAGAACAAAAACAAUCCCCCUUAUUAGACAUCUAUGUGCAUAAAUAAAAGAAGCUUCCUAAGUUGGGAAUGAAACGUGGCUUUGAUUCGUGCAUUUUGGUUGCUUUCACAAUCUAUCUAUAGAAAUGGAAGAUCUCUUCCUCCUCCCAAAAACCAUUUGGUUUAUGGACAAAGAAAGACUGGUCUUUUUCUUUGACCGCCUCUCCAACAGUAGACACAAUUCACCAACUUUUUCUGACUCUCUUGCCAAUGAAAUAAAGAGGGAUGCAUUCGCAUGUCAUGGCAUUUCUAUAGUUCUUGGCAAAAACAUGCAUAUAUAAAGUGUGUCACGCUCACAAAUGAUGGGUUCUUUCCUAUUAUGUGAUUCAAUAUGUACCAAUAUUAUUAUUCUUUGUAUGACUGACAGAGAAACAAACCUAAAUAUGCCAUUUUUCAAUACGAUUACAGAACUAUAUGCAUGCAUUAUUUGACUGAUAUUGAUGAGCCAAAUACAUCAAUUAUAGUGAGUGACGUGAAUCAUGUGUGGUCUAAUGAAACAUUGUAUCUGAAUAAAUUGUUUGGUUUUUGUACCAUAUUCACAUUAAAGCAUCCAAUUCAAGAUAAGGGUGUAUGGACUUCAAGCAUAAAAAGAGACCCUAUAUAUAUAGAGGAGGCAAUACAUUAAAAUUGUUGUACUAUAUAAAUUGAAAGGCUCUCAUUUUAAGCAAAGCUAGUUCGAAACUCCUACGGAAGCAUGCACCGUCAAAGUUGUAUAACAAUUAUUUCAUACAAUGACAGCAAAAUACAAAUUUAAAGAGAAAGAAAAGAAAAAAGGAUCAUGACAGAACUAGCACACAGAUCGAUCAUGCAAGAACUAACUUCCCACUAAUUAUUCUCUCUUUCUUUGUUUUUUGUUUUUGUUUUUUUUGUUGUUGUUGUUAUCGUCGUCAUCAAAGUUAGGAAGGAGAGGAUGCUGUUCAAGGGCAGAACAAUACUAAGGGUGUUGUCUUUGUCAUUUUACUUUUAUUUAUUUUUAUAUUACUUUAUUUACUUAAGUUUACAAUGUAAAUAGGGAAGCACCUCCCAUUUGGAUUCAAAUAAAAAUACUAGAAAAUCAAAUUCCCAUCAAAUCAAAAUAUGAAAAAUCGGUUUUAGUGCAAAAUCAAGUUUUCUUAUUUGAUGUGUAAGGAAUAAAAGCCGCCAAAAAUUAUCUUGAGAAAAUAAUUAUUCUGAAAAUCCAUUUUUCAAUAUUUUUACAUAAAACAACUUUUCAUGUAUGAUAUGAAUGCAUGAAUGAACCUAAGGUCAAUCUAGCUAAAAAGCCUUAGAUGUUCAAUCCACUAUGGUGUUAAACCCUAUUUGGUUUAUGUUAAAACUUAUUUAAAAUUAGUCUAUAGAGCUAUGAACUAGCUUGGUUUAUAUGAUUUAAUGUUUACUUUUAUUUCUAGAAAGACUAUAGAAAUUGUAAGUACCAAAUAAAAUAAUCAUUAAAUUUUAAGCUAAUAACUUUAGUUAGCCCAUCCGUUGAAAAAUUCCUGGUUCCGCCCUUGGUGCUGUUCUCACACACACACUAUCAGGUACAACAAAGGUUCGAACUUGAGACCAUUAAUCUGCACAUCAAGUCUUUUCCACUGAUUUACAAGUUAAGAUCCUUUCUCCAAUUGGGUACCCCAUUGACAAAUCCUACUACUUAUCCAUUGAUUGUCAGCCGGAAACUCUUGGGUAUUUGAUUGAUGCAUAUAAUUAGUCUGAAAAUUCACGUAACCCACAUAUAUAUAAAUAUAACAUAUAUUCUAUCAACUGAUAUAGUCAACCAAUAUAAUACUGAUGAGUGGUGGUGGUGAGUGCAUGAAAUGGUUCUCAUAUAUAUAAUGGAGUCCUCGUGGUGGAAAAAACCAUUGUAUUAAUUAGUGAAAUUCUAAAACAAAGACCCACCUAAUAGCCUAAUAUAAUAAACAAUCAUUCUAAUUAAUUACUUCCUUAAUUAUUAAUCAUAUCUUUUGUUUUUUGAUCAAGUUAUUAAUCAUAUCUUAGCCUCCAAACCUUUGUGCAAGCAAUGUCUAGCACAAUGUAGCUUGGACACGUGUCAUGCAUCCGAUAGUACAUACCUCAUUAUUUACACCACUCUUAUUAGUUAAAAAUGGCCAUUGACAGAGAAUGCAGGAAGGUGUGUUCUUCUGCCAUUGGCCAGUUAGAAAACAUAGGUUUCCUCGAAACGAAUUGAAGUGAAACCCUAGCUAAUUGGCCAAUUCGAGGAAGUGUUUUGCACUGACCAAAACGACAUCAUAAUCAUCCUCGGUGGCCCAUUUGGGUAAUGGCCUAAAUAUUUCAAUAAUAAAGUGUAUAUAUAUAUGCAUUUCAAAUUCUCGAUGCUCAGUUGAGGAUUGGUUAUGGCUGCAACAGGAUGGUGGUCUCCACACGCUUCCCUUUCAAGUUUCAGGGGUUUUGAGUGCAUGGCAAACACAAUCGUGAGUGUUUUCUGUACAGUUUCCUCCACCUUUGUGUGCAGGGGGUGGUUGACAAAGAUAAACUUCAGUAUAUAAUAUUGGAAGGCUGGAAAGUAAGAACAAACAGAUAAAUAUAACUACAAGAUAUUUAUUAUAUAACGACGACAAAAUAAAUACUUAAUUGAUCUCAUGUGUGGUGGGCAGUCUCCAAGAUGCAACAACCAUCUUGUACGAUUAGUUCAGAUGCAUCCCAUUGGUUUCUAUGAGAUGGAUAUUCUUAGGAAGAGUUCAAAAUGAUUCUAAUAUACCUUUAUUUAUAGGUUACAUUCUAACUUAUUUUAAAACUUCAAGGACCGGUAGUGUAAGGGUCUUAGAGCAUCUUCAUCUAUAAGGGUUAAAUCUAGGGUAAGGACAAGUAAGGGCUGCCAUUAUUCACAUGAGUAGUGUCAGCAUUGUCAUUUGUGGUUCCACCCAUGAGGGUUAAGUCUAGAAUAAGUCUAAGGCAAAUACUAUUCAUUGUACUUUAUUUCCUAUUUUUUUAUACUUUAAACCAUUAAUUUUGAUAAUCUUUUGUAAUUAAAUUUUCGGAUAAGAUUUUUGGUUAUCACGCGUCCAUUAUUUUUCAGAAAAAAUUUUCGGAUGAGAAUCUCGGUUGCCACGUGUCUUAUUACAGAUAAAAAUUUCGGAUAUUUAUUUAAAAAAAUUAUAAUCUCAGAUUUCAGAUAAGAUUUUCAACCUCUAAAAUUGUGCCAUGUGUCCCAUAUCAGAUAAGAUUUUCAUAAUUAAUUAACAAAUUAUAUUCUUAGAUUUCAGAUAAAAUUUUCACCAUUUAAAAUUGUGCCACGUGUCAUCUCUAUCUUCAGAACCAUAAUUUUCAGGAGACAUAUGGCAUUUCCUGAACGUUCAAACAUAUGGCACCGAACCAUGAUUCUCAGAUUUCAUAAUUAAUGCACGAAAUUUUUUUUGCCUUGCCCCGUGGCACCGAACCACAUUUGUGCUUGUAUGAUCUAUUAAAAAUAAAUAAUUGGAAGUGCAAGAAAAAAAAGAGUGAGUGGAGAAUUGGUGUAGAAAGUAAAUAAUGUGAGUGGAGAGUAAAAAAUAUUGGAUGGAGAAGAAAUUGUAUGAAGAUUUGGUGUGGAAAGUAAAUAAAAUGGUUAGGUAUUUAUAGGGAAAAAAUUCAGAAUUUUUUGGUAUUUUUUUAAAAAAAAUUCAGAAUUUUGUCGAUUUUUUUUAGCCAAAAAAACAAGGACCGUCGGAUUUCUGGAAAAAACAAUCGGAGCGUCUCUAUUGCGACACGUGGCACAUGCCCGUUAGAUUCUAUCAGGACUGACGUCAGCGCGCGGAAGUCAAAUUUUUUUUACCGUUGGCUCAUGGGCUCCAGCUGAAGCCCAGUCGAAACUUGCCCUUGGGCCUGCCUGGGCUAGUGGGACCCAGUUCUUGCCCGGGCUUCUUCUCUCGCGCUGGAGGGCGCUUGGGCUCACCAAGGGGGCCUUUCCCCCAGUUUGGGUUGCGCGCUAGAGAUGCUCUUAUAGUUCAAGUGGUUUAAAGUAUUAAUUUAUGUAAUCAAAACUCUAGGUUUGAUUCUCCCCUCCUCCAAUAUCGCCUAUCACAAAAAACUUCUAGGACUAAUUGGACUAAAGCAAAGAAUCCAAUUAAUAGUUGGCUGGAGGACUAAUAUAAAGAAUCUAAAUAAAUGAACAAUUCAAUAGUCCAAUAAAAAAGAACUUAAAAACUAAAUAUUUUUAAUUAAAAAGAAAAAUUUGCAUAAAUACCACAUGAACUAAUAAGGUUGUGAGCAGUUAUCACCCAAUGGAACAUUUUCGACAGUUUGCUACUCAAAACUUCACUAUUUCAUCUAAUUUUUUGUAAAAAAGUUUCAGUUAUACAUACAAACAUGUACAUGUAGUCAAAUUCAAAUUAGUCAUAAUUUUAAUUAAAUCGAAAUAGCUAACUGAACAAAAACCGAAAAUAAUUCAGAAGUAUAGAAAUUGAACCAAUUGAAAUAUACUAUAAAUCACCCAACUGAAAAAUAGCAAACCAAACAAUUAUGGAAAUUCUUUGAUUAUUUGGUUUUGGUAAGCCCUAUCACAGAUUAUAACCCGCCAAAUGACAAGCUUAAAAAUGACAAAGUCCAGGAAUUGUAAUCAAGCGGCGGAUCAUCUUGCGUCGCUGGCACUAUCGAGGAGGAGUACGGAAGUUUGGGUUGAAUGGCCCCCCACCUCUCUUGUGCACAUCCUUUGCAAGGAUGGACUCCCUUGUCCUCACCAUGCCUAAUUUGACUGUUGAUUGGUCUUGAAUCGUUUUAACAUCCUUAUGGUUGGAUUGUUUUUCUGGCGCUUUUCUUCUUGAUCAGUCUAAAUGUGUUGUUUGUUUUCUGGACUCUUUACGCAUUGUCUGUUUCCUUGCAUGGACAGACUUGUUUCCCUCUGUAUGGGCGUGGGCCUUUUGUUUAGGGAUUUCUUGUGCUUUGAAUAUAAGAUAUUUUCGACCAAAAAAAAAAAAAAAAAGACAGAGUCCCCCUAAUCAACAUACCGAAGAAAUUUAGUACCCCAUUUCACAAGUAAUAGCUUUUAAUAUAUGAUAAAAGCAGCCAUCUUCACUUCUAUAAAUCUAUCUUGACCUCGUCUGCUUGACAAUGUAUACAUGGUAUGCGCCCGAUCAAAAGGGGAUGACAACAGUAGAAAAAAAAAAAGAGAAGGGGAACAAAAAUAGUUCAACAAAGAAAUAAGAUUUAAAAAGAGAAUGUAAUGCCAACGGGAUCUAAUAUAAUGAAAAAUAGCCUUGAUUUGCAGAAUAAAGGUCUCACAUUCAAAUCCCCACAGUAUCAUAGUUGUGUGUGUGUGUGAGAAAUCUCACUCCCAUAUAGUUUAAACUAUCGCUUGUACUAAAAAAACAAAAAAAAAACAAAGAGAAUGCAAUGAAUGAUAGGCCUGCGAACAUGGAGGCCAGGCAAUGUGUAUACUGUUGAAUGUAGACCCAUCACGACAUGUAGGCCCAAAUGUAAGGGCCUUCUACCAUUUUUCUAUUGGACCUAGUAUUUCUACAAGAAUUGAUUUGUCUUGAGCCCAUUACCAAUACAAGAGGCCCACAAUCUGGCUUUCCACCUUUCACUAACUAUAGAUUGAUUAGAAAAAACAUGUCUUUCUGCCGCAGAUGCAGCAACAUCCACACAACUUCCACUUGUUGCUUUACUUAUCUAUAAUGCAUGAUUUAUGGCGUAAAUGCAUUUAAUCCACACUUUUGAAUUUUGUCCUCAUUAUCCAGCAAAAAAUUUCCCCACUCUGAAUAUUGACAGGCUUUUGUAAUUUCUUUUGGGUGUUGAAAUGCCCUUUUUUGAAUGGCAAAUGUUUGUGUAGAUGUGAGUUAAGUCAGUUGAUUAAGAUAGUAUAUUCACUUUCUUGCUCCAGAAUUCGAUCAUCCUCCCCACACAUUAGAGUAGUUUAAAAUAUCACUUUGUUGAAAAUCAAUAAAACAAUAUGACAGAGUUCUUUCCUUAGAAUGAGCCUUUUCUCAGUCAUUGGGCCAAUUUCUCUCUCUCUCUCUCUCUCUCUCUCUCUCUCUCUCUCUCACCAGGCCAUUGCUCAAUGAACUUAUGCCAGAUCACUGUGCUCUCAUAUAUUAUUUCAUAAUCGGGCAAUGUUUUCCUGGAAGUCCUGGUGUUGCAUCCAAUCCGUUAAUUGGUCAACAAACUUCUUUUUAGGAAUUGGUGAAGUAAGGUGAUUUAUGACCGUGGCAUAGACCGAAGCGAAUUGUUCCCACCCCUAUUAUUUAGUUGUUUUUCAUUCGACAAGAAAAUAUGGUGAGUGAUAAAGAAAAAAGAACAACUAAAUGUGAUAAGUAGCACCACAACUUUACCACUAGCUAUAAUCACCUACCAAGUGAAGAAACAUUCUAUCUAAUCUUUUACAUACAUAUUCGAUUUCUUGUUUGACGCUGGAAUUAACCUUACCCUAAACCGUUAUAUGUUUAAUACGAACUACCACUUCAGUAAAGGGUCUACUGUAAAAAGUGAAAAGUUACCACCUAACGAAAAGUAAAAGUGAAGAAUUACCCAUAUAGGAUUUGAAAGGAGGAACGGGGUCUAUAACAUAAAGACAACAUUCUAGGAUGAGAAGGCAUGGCAUGAAAAAGACCGCAAGGGAAAAACUGACCAAGAAAACGGUGAACCACCAUCACUCAUUCACGCUCUCCCUUGGAUUAGAUAAGAUAAUGGAGCGCCUUCCACGUGGCACGGUCAUAGUGGUGCCUAGCGAUAAGGCUAGCAUUCAAAAUGUUCCUCUGCUUCAUGUGGUCUACAUGGUGUAAUGUCAGCAUUUUUAUGAUCCAAAGGUCCAAAUUUGAUUUCAGUAAAGUAAAUGGAAUUUGGACCCUAGGAUGUGAAAUAGCUAGUCAGACCACUAUAUAUAGGAAGGGUGAACAGAAGCUGUGCAACUCAACUGAAAAGUAAAGACCUCUAGCAAAGAAGAGGGCUAAAGAGAGCACAGAGCAAUGGCUUCCUCCAUGAUUUCUUCAGCUACCGUGGCUUCGGUUUACGCUGACCGUGCCGCCCCGGCACAAGCUAGCUUGGUUGCACCAUUCACUGGCCUCAAGUCUGCCUCAGCUUUCCCCGGCGCCAAGAAGACCAAUGACAUCACCUCCAUUGCAAGCAAUGGUGGAAGAGUGCAAUGCAUGAAGGUAAGACUACUUAUCAACAUGUUGCUACAAUUAAUUUACAUUCAAAACAAUAUACCCAAAUGCAUGUUGAAGUAACUACUUCACGAGGAACCGAAAUACAUAACUUGUGAAUAUACAAAUGAAUUGUCUGAAUUACAGUCUGAUAACUUAACAUGUCGUAAAAAAAUACAAUUUUUUUCAUAAUCGUAGCAUAUUUACAUACCCACUAUUAACUAUAAUUAAAGAAAAUGUAGUUUAUUUCCAAGCUUACCAAUCCUUUCGUGUGCUUCCUGGCCGCUAAUUAGUAAUAGUUCCUCUAUUUUUUUGGCCAAGAAGGUACUAAUCGAAGUACUAGAACAUCGAUUUAUCGAAUAUUUUGAUUGAUACAGGUGUGGCCUACAGUUGGACUGAAGAAGUUCGAGACUCUCUCCUACCUUCCACCACUCUCUCCUGAGUCUUUGGCCAAGGAAGUAGACUACCUUCUCCGCAAGAACUGGGUUCCCUGCUUGGAAUUUGAGUUGGAGGUUAAUAAUUUCUUUUUAUAAACUUAUUUAUAUAUGUUAGCUUCAUGUAAUAUUUGUUUGCUGACUUAAUUUUCUUGAACAAAAUUGUGGUUUUAUAGAAGGGAUUUGUGUACCGUGAGAACCACAGGUCACCAGGGUACUAUGAUGGAAGGUACUGGACCAUGUGGAAGCUGCCCAUGUUUGGAUGCACAGACUCUUCCCAAGUGUUGAAAGAGCUCGAGGAGGCCAAGAAGGCUAACCCCAACUCUUUCAUCCGUAUCAUCGGAUUCGACAACGUUCGUCAAGUGCAGUGCAUCAGUUUCAUCGCCUACAAGCCUGCAGGCUACUAAUUUCAAGUUUCAUGAUUUUUAUUUUAUGUUGUUUGUGGCUUGUUAGCCAAGGGUCUCGGUGGUUUGUUUAAGUCUGUACUUAAUUAGGCCUUUCAAGACCUUUGUUGGUUUCUUUUCUUUCCCUUUUUCGAGACAAUUUCCUUUGUUUUCGAAGUUGGUGUUUUUCGGAUUCAUAAUGUGGUGGUGUUGAGAAUAUUCAUGAAUAAAAUGAUAUCCGUAUUUUAUUUUCAGUCCGAAUAAAGCUACAUGUAGCAUGUUUAUUAAUUACAUUACUAAUUACAUCUCUCAUCUCUUACUAAGACAUACACUCACGCACAUGUUUAGAGGUGUGGUGAACAAUGUUAUUGGUAAUAAUGUAAUAAUAGUUUUAUUGUUUUCUAAUUAGGAUUUUAAUUCAGUUUCUAAUUUCCUUUAUGAGUUUGGGAAUGUACACAGAUGAUGGUGAAUUAUACUGGGGAAAGUUGAAAUUUGUUCUGAAGAUUACUCAAGGUGAAUAAGAUCUCUUCAAUGAUUUUCUCAAAAAUACUUCUCUUAAAUGCAAUUGUUCAUGAAAACAAUUCAAGUUUGAUAGCCAGAUAAGUAACUAAAGUAAGUAUAAAAUUAAAAAUUACCAACAAAUUGCAGUAUUUGUAUGUACCCAAAAGGAAAAAACAAAAGCUUUCUCAAGUCUGUUUAAAUUGGAUAUAUUCAAACAAGAUAUACAACUUUUUAAGUUCAAUUUUACGUUUUCUAUUGAAGCAUGAGCUUAUAACUAAGCAGAACAUUAAAGUCGUUAACCACGUCAUAAGCCUUCAGGUUAUAGAUGGGUACCAAAUUACAAAAUCACAACAUAAGCUCAGUCCCAUUUUGAUGGCACAUUUUUUGAGCCAGAAUUCAGCUACUAAUUGCUAACUUAAUUUUUGCAAUAUUUCUUUAUUUUUAUUUUGAAAUUCAAUAAAACCUUCUUCAAGCACUUGCGCUUCUAUCAAUUUCGUAUCACACAUUUUUUCAAUUGACCGACUAGUUUUCUUGGACCCUAGAUAGCUACACUUAUGGACAUGCAUUUCUCCAGAUAAAGAAAAAGAUAAGCUGGGUCAUUUCAAAGUCGCCGCACUAAAAUUACAACUUUACCCUAAACCCUAUAUUCAUAUCCACACAGAAAUUUCGAAGCUGGCUUCCAACCGUGUUUUGUGUUUACACGAGCUUGAUGACGACCCUCUAGAUGAAAUUAGUGAUUUGUUAAAGAAUGAAUCAAUCUGGUGUGAAAUGACCAAAGUCAGUUGUCAUGCAAAGCCAGAAGAAGAAAAAAAAUAAUGGACAAUCAUGUUAAAAUAUGAAAAUUAUGAGAGAACUAUGAGAGAAUAUUUGUUUGUGGGAAUUUUCUGUGUAUUCUUCUCCUUGUAGGAGGUCUUAUUUAUAAUACAACGAAACCUGAAUGGACAAGUAAAUAAUAAAUUCCUAAAUCUAUUUACAGUAAAAAAUCAUGAAUUAAAGUAAAUCAAUUACAAUUAUAAUAGGAAUUCUUGGUGUGUAAGGAAAGUAAGUCAAUAUCCACAAGUCACGCCAACACUCCCCCUCACGUUGGUGCAUAGAUGUCGCUAAUGCCCAACUGAUCCAGUGAAUUGUGGAAUGUUUUACUGGAAAUCGCCUUUGUCAAAAUAUCUGUCAAUUGAUCCUCGGAUUUCACAAAAGGAAACUGAAACACUUUAGCCUCAAGCUUCUAUUUGAUGAAGUGUCGAUCCACCUCAACAUGUUUAGUACGAUCAUGCUGAAUCGGAUUCUGCGCAAUGGUUAUAGCAGCCUUGUUGUCACAAAAGAGAUUCAUUGUGGAUGUAGGUUUAUACCUAAGUUCAGUAAGCAACUUUCUUAACCAAAGAAGUUCACAAAUCCCUUUAGUCAUGCCUCUGAACUCGGCUUCUGUACUGGAUAAAGCUACUACAUUCUGUUUCUUGCUUCUCCAUGUCACCAAAUUACCUCCCACGAAUGUGAAGUAACCCGAUGUGGAUUUUCUAUAUGUUACAUUACCUGCCCAAUAUGCAUCUGAAUAACCAUCAAUAUUUAGAUGACCAUGCUUUGAGAACAUAAGUCCUUUUCCAGUUGCAGACUUCAAAUAUCUAAGUAUCCGAAGAACUGCAUUCAUGUGGUCUUCACUUGGAGAGUGCAUAAAUUGACUGACAACCCUCAUCGCAUAAGCAAUGUCUGGUCGAGUAUGUGACAAAUAGAUCAAUCUUCCCACUAACCUUUGGUAUCUUUCUUUGUUAGUUGGAACUUGAUCCGGAUAUUCUCUAAGAUGAUGAUUCUGAACAAUAGGAGUGUCUGCAGGUUUACAAUCUAGCAUUCCUGUGUCUGUCAACAAGUCCAAGACAUAUUUCCUUUGAGAGAAAAAUAUGUCUUGCUGCGAUUGAGCCACCUCAAUUCCCAAGAAAUACUUGAGUCUACCUAGAUCCUUCAUCUCAAACUCCGUAGCCAGAUAGUCUUGUAGCUGUGAUAUUUCCUGUUUAUCAUUCCCAGUAAUAAUCAUAUCAUCAACAUAGAUUAUUAAUGUUGUUACCUUCCAUUUUCAAUGUUUCAAGAACAGAGUAUGAUCUGAGUUGCACUGUUUGAAACCAUUGUUCUUCAUUGCCAUAGUGAACCGUCCAAACCAUGCACGUGAUGACUGUUUCAAUCCAUACAAUGGUUUAGUGGCUUACCACGAUUUUGCCUGAAAGGUAAUUGAUAUCCAAUAGUUUUAUCAUCUAAAUGCACAAGUCUAGAAGGAGUAGUUACCUCAAGGAUAUUCUCAGAAGAUUGGUCUGUUGGUACUGUUGAGUUAGAGGGGGGUCUUCAUCUUGUUGUUUUGUAUUGUCUGUAGGUGUGAGACUCGGAUCAGAAGUUUCUUCGCAUGGAUCAGGUGGGUUAGGCAAUUGAUCGCUAUGAAUGGGCAAUUGGUAGUUUUUCGACAGAGAGUAAUCUCAUGCUCCAGACUCGGGAUGAUCAAUCAUUUCUGUACAGAGGAGAAUUUCUUUGUUUUUCAAGUUGCUCUAAUUCUGCUCUUCACUUUGUAUCUCCCCCUGAAGCGUAGAAUUGGAUGAUGGGUCAUGGAAGAACAGCUCAUAUUCUAGAAAGGUCACAUCCAAAGUAACAUAGGUUUGUUGGGUAGGAGGGUGAUAACAGCGGUAGCCUUUCUGAUGAGUGACAUAACCCACAAAAGCACAACGAAGCGCAUAGGGAUCAAGUUUGCUACAUUGAUUUUUGUGGACAUGAAUGAAAGCCACACAUCCAAAGAUUCGGGGUGUGAGUACCAAAACAGAGGGCAGAGGUCUGUGUUACGCAAGCACUUGUAAGGGAGUUUUAAAGGUCAAUACACCAGAAGGCAUGCGGUUGAUCAGGUGAACUGCGAUGAUAAUAGCAUCAUCCCAGUGAUGGUGAGGAACAUGAGCGCCAAUCAGAAGUGCUCGAGCAGUUUCAAGAAAAUGUCGAUUCUUUCGUUCAGCAACACCAUUUUGUUACAGUGUCUGAGGACAAGUCGUCUCAUGGAUAAUUCCAUAUUGUUGAAGGUAAAUCUGAAAGUCAUGAUUGACAAAUUCUCCACCAUUGUCUGAGCGAAGAAUCUGGAUUUGAGCAUUAAACUGGGUUUUCAUCUGUUUGUGGAAGGACUGAAAACCGGAAAACACUUCGUUUUUAUUCUUCAGCAAAUAAAGUCAUGUCAUCCCUGUACAAUCAUCGAUGAAUGUGACAAACCAUCGAACACCAGAAGGAGCAGUGAUAGGCGAAGGUCCCCAGACAUCAGAGUGAAUUAACGUAAAUUGAGUAGUACACUUGUUCGUACUCAAUGAGUAAGGCACACGGUGACUCUUGGCCAAAAUACAAGUAUCACAUAUGAAGUCAGAGUCCUUGAAACCUGAGAAUAAAUCUGGUAUAAGAUGCUUCAUAUAACUAAAAGACGGAUGUCCUAAUCGACGGUGCCACAACUAGAUUUACUUUUGUUUGCUAUCAAAGGGAUGUGUCACACUGUUAGCCAUGCCGGGACUGAAGUCAUUGACAUAAUAUAGCCCCCCUUUCUUAGUACCACGACCAAGAAUCUCUUUAGUGUGAAUAUCCUGAAGCAAACAAAAACUCGGGUAAAUGAGUACACAACAAUUCAAUUGUUCAGUAAGCUGACUAACUGACAACAAUUUAGUGGAUAAAGAUGGAACAAGUAAAGUAUUAGACAGUGUGAGAGAGGAUGAGAGUGCAACAGUGCCAGCCCCUGUCACAGGAUAAGUAACACCAUUGGCAUUUGCAAUACAGGUUCGUCGAGGUUGUGUAGUAUUCAGAAAAUCAUCAGGAUCAAACGUCAUAUGAUCAGUUGCACCGGAAUCAAUUAUCCAGCUCCUAGAAUCAAUCUUAUCGGAAGUAUGGAAUCCAUAACCAGUACCAUUACUGGUCAUAUUGCAUUGUACUUGAUCUGUAAGAUAGCCCACCAAUCGGGAUAGCCAUGCAAUUUAAAACAAGUCUCACAAGUGUGUCUCGGAUCACCACAAUAUGUGUAAUCUGGUCCAUGUGUCGGGGUCGUUAGUCGAGAAGUCAUAAUCUGUGCAGGGAAGAUACAUAGGAUACAGGUUGAAUAGGAAUUUGGAUCGGAAUCUGAGCCUGAGUCGGGGCAGGAGUCGGAGUCGAAAUCGAGAUUGGGGUCUAAAUCAGAGACAAAUUCAGGGUGGGGGUCAUCAUCUGAGUGGGGGUCGGGGUCGUCUUCGUAGUCGGGGUCGGGGUCAGGGUCGUCAAAAGAUGAUCCUGAUUCUGGAUCGGGUUCAGGGUCAAAGUCUGUAUCUGUAGGAGCUAAGCCAUCUAGCCACUCAACUCAACGAUGGUUGGUUGAGAAUGAGAGAAGGAGUCGGUGGUGCUACCUCCAUGAGGGUUGAAAAAAUCAUCGACCCCCAUAGCGGCGGCGGGGGUUUGAAGCUAGAGUCAGCAAUUCCAAAAUUUGGCUCUGAUACCAUGCUAAAAUAUGAAAACUAUGAGAGAAUAUUUGUUUGUGGGAAUUUUCUAUGUAUUCUUCUCCUUGUAUGAGGUCAUAUUUUAUAAUACAACGAAACUUGAAUGGACAAGUAAAUAAUAAAUUCAUAAAUCUAUUUACAGUAAGAAAUCAUGAAUUAAAGUAAAUCAAUUACAAUUAUAAUAGGAAUUCUUGGUGUGUAAGGAAAGUAAGUCAAUAUCCACAAGUCACGCUAACAAAUCAUUGUGUUAAAUUAAUUAUCCAAAUCGUUCAAUCUUUAUGUUUUUUUUUAAUGAUUAUUCAUGUAAAAAAUAAACUAAAUCGGAAAUUGUUUAGACAUUUAGGUACGUAGGAUGUGUGCACUUUUCUUACAUGAAAUAUAGGAAUUGAAAGAAACCCAACUGUUUUAAUCCAAAGGGAAGGCUAAAUCUCAUGAAACCAAAAAGAAAAAGAUUUGUGUACGAAUCGAAGGAAAUAAAUGAAAAUAUGCUUGAAAGAAGUAAUCUUACAACAGGAAUGAAUAUCAUGGGGAAUGAAUAAACUUCACAAUACUCAAAGAAAAUCUCAUUGUGGUGUGAAACUUAUUCUGUCCUCAACGGCUCAUUUCUGAUGUUUUCCAAGAUAUAGUAGCCUGAUCUAUUUAUAGUGAAAUAUGACAAAAUUUCCAACAAAAUUAUGGAAACAUAAUUAAUUGUAUCCACUAUUGGGAUAUUUUUUACAUAACAUUUAUAAAUUUUCCUAUAAAAAAAAUAAUAUUUAUAAAUUUGAUAAAUAUACCUAGAUGCGAAUGUUACGAUGUUGCAAAAUUAAAAUUUUUCCCAUAUUUAAAAAAUUCAUGUUAUUCACCAACCACCAUAACUCUAGUGGCAAGUGUACUUAUUAAUAGGAAUGAGGGAAGUUAUGAAUCAGGAAAAUUAAGAAAGGGAAUGAGGAAUUGAAAUUGAAAUCGGAUCAACUACUCCUCUAGUUGAUUUGAUUUCUAAUUUUAAAGGUAUUUGAUGAUGAAUUUUAACAAUAUUGAGAAGCUGAAGUUCUAACAAUUAAAUGGACAACCCUUGAUGUAUUAUUACAAGUCGUGGUAUACCACAUAUUUCUUUGGCAUAAGAAAAUGAUGAAGCUUGAUUUUAUCACACCUCAAGAAGAAAUAUAUUUUGUGAAUCUUGGUUGUUAAAGAUUCACCGUGAAAUGAAUAAUAUCAUGAUAAACCUUAAAGGAUGAAAUGAGACUCCCCAUAUUUUGUUAUAUUAUAUGAUCUGGGCCGAAAGCCCAUGGAUCCCAAUAUGUCAAAAAUCCCAAACCUGAAGUUUUGGGUAUAUAAUAGUUCAUGCUCUUCACUACUAUAUUGCAAUAUUAUCAUGGCUUUUCCUCAAUUUAUAUUUCAUGCCUAUUUGAAAAAGGCAAUUAAAUUAUGAGGUUGUAUUUAACCCGGGCCAGAAGUUCCUGGCACACAUGCGUUGAAAUAUAUAAUUUGAGAGAUUUAAUGUGAUCAUUUUGAAAAGACGUACAGGUGCAAGUUUAUGAAUUUGCCCAAUUAUUAUUAACAGAAAGAGAGUAUACAACAGUUAAAUUGUUUUCAUCUGCAAGAAAUAAAGCAGACUUUGUAAAAUCUAUCAAGCUACAUUAUGGCUUAGAAGUUCCGGAAGAAAGAGAACAUCGCCUCUUGAGCUUAGACAUGAGCCUUUCUUGGUCUUUUAGAAUCUUUUGAUUGGAAAUCUGCAACAUGUCGAAUUUUGUCUACGUAUCUAUUGAGUAUGAACUCACCAGUUUAAACAAAGUUUUAUUUUCCUUUUUAAGGUUUUCAACCUCUCGCUAAGAAUUAUGAAGCAUUCUCCGAAGAGAUGAAUUUUCAGUCUUCAGCUCCUAAAUCUUGUUUGCUUUGGCAAGCAAAUGAUGAGCCAUGUUAGAAACAAAAGCAGCACUCUGAAUGCUAAAAGCCAUUGAGUCAUCAAUAACCUUUUUGUCAAACCUUCCCAUUAAUAAUAUCUCAUCCAUUGGAGUAAGGAAAUUCCUAGCUACUAUGAUAGCAGUUGUAUCAUUCAUCAUAACAGAAUCAUUAACCGUGGGAUGACGAUUUUGGGAUACAAAGGAUGGACGCUAGACUUUGGCGUCAUGAGUUGUUUUAGGAGCAAUAUUUAAAUUGAAAUGUUUUGGGCGAGAAGAAGAGGAAGUCAUUUUAAAGGUUUCGAGGAAAGUCUUAGAAAAGCUAAACUUUCAGAAAAUGGAAGGAAUUUGAGUUAUUCCAAUUAGGUCAUACAAAGACAAUAUCUAUAAGUAAAAAUGUGGCAAUAUUUCUAGGAUCCCAAUAUUUCCUUUUACUUUUCCAAAUUCCAAAACUUCACGUGGCUUUCAUUAAUGUCUGUCGGCACUUUAAUAGUUUCAAGGACUAUUUUUGUCAAAUUGAUCUUCCUUUUAUGGAUUUCACGGUGUCACUUUUUCAAAAGUGUCUCGAGAACUUCAAAAGUUUUUGUAGUUAAUUUGAAAUUUAACAUCUCACACUAUUCCUUUUCUUGUGUAUAAAUAUGUUACUAACAAACUUCAUUGCAGAUCACAUCUUAUCCAAAUGAUAGAAUAUCAACUUGUUUUUCCUAUUAGCGAGCGCUUGAUGUGCUUGAGAAGCGAAACUAUCUCUGAUCAUUUCUUUAGGAAGCGAGACUAUCCCUAAUCACGCCUCCUGUGAUCUCAAGGGACUGUAGGGCAGUUAAGAACGAGCACAUCGCUCUAAUCUCCUGAAGUUCUCCUAGGCUAGGAGAAAUAAGAGUUUGUUGUCUGUUACCUCACCUGUUUCCUACCCUAAUUGCUUACCUACCUUGCAAUCAAUAUCACAAUUCUUUGUAUCUUUUCUUUCUUUUUAUAACUCUCUGUUCCUAUGGGAUUUUGUUUCUUUAUAACCUUCAUUUGAAGAACAAAUCCAUGUUUGAACCUAACACUUAGGGUUAUUUUUUUGACAGGGAUGAAAGAAUUAGGAUUUUUGCUCUUGCAAGAUAUAACUAGAUCAUCAAGCAUUUCAUUAUAUUUGCUGAGCCGAUACGAGCUUGAGUGAUAUUUGAGCAAAGUUUCUCUCAACUAAGGAUGUAAGCAAUACUUGUAUUAUUUCAUGUUUGUACUCUCAUUAGUAUUUUGAUAUUUUUUACGAAAUCCUUAGUGGUAACCAAAUGAGGAGAUAAGACCGUUCUAGAAAAAUGACUUGUAUCAUGACCAUUCCAGAAGAAUGGCUUGUAUUCAUGAAUUAUUAAUGCAAAUUUUACAAAUUGCAAGUUGACUACAUUGAUAAUACAUUGCAUUAAAGCCUUAGAAGAGCAAAAUAUGGGUAUAGCAAUGAUCAAUAUGAUAGACACCUAUUUUGUGGCAAAUGAUAUGGAUUAAGGUCCUGGAAAGACAAUCCAUUAACAUGUCAAUAUUAAAAUAAUGCACGCCUAAUACGUAGCAAAUUAUUUGGUUUAAAGUCCCAAAAGGACAAUUCAUUAACAUGUAUGUAUUAAUCUGUGGCAUAGCUGCAACAUGACAGAUAUAUGGGUUCUAAAUAUCUCAACUCUCUAAAUGGAGAUUAUCCACGCCCUAUUAUAAAAUAACACUCCAUUGGAGGUUAUGAUCUACAUUCUCACAUAAUUCAUCUUACAAGAGAUGUCUGUUUGGAAAAAAAAAACAAUACAAGCGCACCUGGAGUGGCUUGGGUACCCAAAAGCAAAGAAAUACUUAUAAUUGAUGCAAGCACAUGCACAUGAGAAUGGUGGGAUCACAAAUUGAUGAAUGACAAUUUUUGAUUUUAGAGUAGCUACUCAAAUCUAGGGGUGGGCACUCAAACCGGCGAACCGGAAAUCCGAGCCGAACCGUACCGAACCAAACCGAAAAAACACCGAGUUGACCAAAAAGUCAAAAACCGGUCAAAAACCGAACCGGACCGGUUUGGACCGGUUCCGGAUCCGGUUCCAUGUCUUCAAAAACCGAACCGGGCCAAACCGAACCGGUGAAACUAAAAAAAUAUAUAAUUUCAAUAUAUAUUUAUAUUUAAUGCUAUAUUUUUAAUUUCACUAAAAAAAACCUAAUAUUUAUCCAAGUUCAAUGUCAAAAUAUCUCUCUUUUCUUACUUUAAUAUUUAUUUUUUAUAUGAAAUUGAGUAAUUUGUUAAUUUUCAAGUAAAAAAAUAAUAUUUCAGUUGAGAAUUGUAUUAAAAAACAAUUUAAAAAAAUAAUUUUUAUAAUUCGGUUCAAAACCGAACCGAAACCGGAACCGGACCGAAACCGGUUCAAACCGAACCGGACAGUUUUUGAAAUUUUUUUUAUUAAAACCGAACCGAACCAAACCGGAUGAAUAGUACCAGAUCGGUUCUACUUUUAGGCAAAAACCGGUCCAAACCGAACCGUGCCCACCCCUACUCAAAUCAUCAAUGAGCUUUGUUGAUUGGAACCACGUUCUAUUAUUAAAUGUCGACAAAAUCAUUGGCUAAAAUGGAAAAAGGCCAUUCCAUUACAGAUCAGAAUGAACGUGGAAGAACAAACCUAUAGUAUGAACCCCAAAAAGAUGUUAGCAUUGCAGGUUAUACAUAGGUGUUCGAGAUAAAGAGUAAUACACUCACUUUAUAUGACACAAAUGUUUCUGGUAGAAACAAGGAAUAUUGAGGUUCUCCAUAUUUACACAUGCAAUCGUGGCUUCUUAUUGCAUAUUUACGGAGACCAACAUGCUAUCUUUAAGGGUUAUUAAAUGCAUGGAAGCAUAUCACUAGAAGUGAUUCCCUGAAGAUGUAUAAGAGGAAUAAAUAGCUGAGUAUAAAGCUAUAUUGUGUGUCAUGAAGUGUAAUCCCUUAAAUUAAAUACCUGAAAGAUUAAAAUUGGAUGAAGCAAGUCUUUAAAGGACACGUGCCUGAAACACAAAUUUGUACUCAAUAUUAAUAUGUACAAAUUGCCUCAGAGAGUACUUUGAUUGAAUUCAAAUUUAAAGAUGUUGCAACGUAUUCAAAUGUUUAAAGUUAUGGAAAAUAUUUAGACUCCUGAAGAGCCUACAAAGAAUAACAUAUGCAAUUAUUCUUAAAAUAUACAAAAAUAUAUAUGAAUGAUUGACUAUACCAUAUAAAGUUUCAAUACUCUUAUCAUUAUAAAUCUGAGUUUUUAUUUAUUUAUUUAUAUAUAUUGAAAAACCUAUGAAAUUAUUCAAGUCAUUGUAUGCAGUAAAAUAUUUAUAAAAAUAGCCUAGAUAUUGUUGUAUUAUUCUGACCUCAAUAGGGAUUAAAUAAAUGAAGACAUGCAUACAUCCUCCAAUGAUAGGGGUGGGCAUCAAUCCGGCCGAUCCGGUCAAUCCGGCCGAACCGAUUAUAUUGGAUUGGUUUGGUUUGGUUUUGACCAAAGAAAAAGUCAACAUUUUGAAAAACCGAACCGAACCGGUUUGGUUUGGUUCAGCUGUGGUUUGAGAGUUUUAAAAACUGUCAUAAACCGAACCGGACCGAUUAUAAAUUAAUUUAUUAUUUAUUUAAUUUAGUUUACAUGUGGCAAGGUUUGUGUGCGUUUUGUGAGUCCGCGUAUCUGAAUGUUGGUGCACGUUUUGAUCUUCUAAUUUGCAUAUCCCAGUUAUUUGUGUGUGCUUGUAUUUCCCUCUCUUUCUAUCUCUACUAUGUGUGUUUGCUCUUUGUGUUGUGUGGCUCUUCUUACUCUAUCUAUCUUAAUUAAUGGGUCCAUUUCAUAAUUUUAUACGCAUUCAAACUCCACCUCUGUGAUAAAAGUAUUUACCUCUCUGUGAUAAAAGCUUUUCAUUUGUUUGUAUUGUGAUGAAUGCAAUGAGUAAAUUUAAUGCAAAUUUUGUAUAUGUUUGUUUUGAUGAAAAUUGUGAACUUAGAUGCAUGCUAGACAUUGGACAACCUUUGAAUAAAUGGAAUGAUGUUGUAUUAGCCUUUGAUGGAAUGGAAUGGAAUGAUAUAAUGGCAAAAUGUUAGCAUUAUAAUGUAAGAGCAGGUUGAAAAAUGCAUGGUUUUGUGUUAGGCACAAACCGGCCGAACCAAUCCGAACCAAACCGAUUACAAGUGGUUUGGAUUGGUUCGGUUUUCAUUAUGAUUUUAGGCUAAUCCGAACCAAACCGGACCGUUAUUUUCUUAUUGGUUCAGCUGUGGUUUGAGAGUAAAAUCGAACCAAUCCGGACCGUGCCCACCCCUAUCCAAUGAUGCUACAAGAGCAAGUUUUAUACAGGCAUUACAAAAGCUCAAUCUGUGAAGGACGAAUGUGAUAGCAAUAUUAGACCAUCAAAUAAUCCAUGUAUGGAGUUAUCAAGGAGAGUAGUUCUUUAGGGGGAGCAUCCAACAAUGUUGUAAUAUUGAUUCACAAAAGUAGUACCAAUUAUGACAUUCAUAGAAAGUAAACAAUACGGCUUAAAAAUAUUUUUGCUAAGCAUUAAGGAGAGCAUGCAGUCAAUAAAGAUAAUGUCGCAUGUGUGUCAGGGUUAUACACAGUUUUAUGUUACACAUGGUUAUGUACUUUUUUUUUCAUUUCGACCAGUUUUUGUCUCACUGGGUUUGACUGGCAAGGUUUUUAAUGAAGUAUAGUCCAUGCAUGGUAAACAUCCAGGAGAGUUGUAAAUCCAUGAUAAGAUGGAUGCCCACCAUAUCUACAUACGCCAUGUAAUACCUACCUCUCCCAUUACACCUUUGUGAUGUAAUUGAAACCUACCACUUAGAACAUCCACAAUAGGCUCCCUAAAUCACCUCCUUAGACAAAUUUUAGGAAGGAAUCGUAAAAACGCAACUCCAACCACGCUCCCCAUCCACCUCCUAAAAUAGGAAGUCCUCUAGGAACUCCUAAAUCUGAGGAGAGAGAAAAGACUCUUAGUGACUCCCUAUAAUUUAAUGCUGCUUUAUUUAAUGAGUAUUUCAAACCUUUAUUUAAUUCUAAUUAUUUUUUAUUUUAUUUUUUAAUAGAGAUGGGUCAAUCAAAAAAGAGUUAUAGCAUUUAUGACUCUCCAAAUUAAGGAGUAUGGUUGGAGUUGAAAUUUUUUAGAGAACUCCUAAAAUAGCUUUCUUAUAUUUUUAGCUAAAUUUUAGCUAAGAAAUGAGAACAUCAUUGUGGAUACUCUUACGUAGUAAACUAUGUAUUUCCUAUGCCUAUAAAUAGACACCAAAGAUAGAUGAAAAAUACACAAGACUAGAUGAGUGAAAACUCAUGAUUAAUCUCUUGAGAAAUGUUCAUCCAAAUUUCUCUCCAAAAUCCUCUUAAUUCUAUAACAUUUUUAAAAUUUUAGUUUGGUCCUCAUGAUUUUCAUCAAAAUAUGACAAGGCGCUCUUUCCCUGAACCCACCCCGACAGCUCCACCAGGAUCGUAUCUACGAAAUACAUUCACCCUCACCCGAACUUCUUCCCAGUUCACCUUAGACAUAAGCAGUUUCGAAAGAGUUCGACAACAUGGGUUAAAGUCAAACACAAAACAUCAGCCCAUGUGGAACGGUCUAUAAAAAAAAUGAUACAGUUGAGUUCCAAGGUGAGUCGUCCUUUUUGGGGGUAACGCGAAAAUUGGACCAUUGUUCCAAAGAGCACUAGCAUAAUUAGGCCUUGCCAAAAUACAUUUACAGGGUAACAGAUCAAACUAAAUAACCAAUAGUUUUAUACAGACUCUUCAUAAACAUCAAGACCCAUCUUAUAUUACAACAGAGCCAAGGCUUUAAACAUAUACAUACCUUUUCUCCAGUUUGACACACUUUCGUGAUGUUCCAUCAAACCUCUAGCAGCGACAUUAGCAAUGAGAUGAUCACCAACAAAAGCACAUAUCCUAUAUACAAUACUAAUUGAUCUCAGUUUCUCCAAAAAUUAUCAAAACUCCCUCCUCUUGUUAAUUCUGCUGAAUUUGUGAGCUGUGAUGGCAUUUAGCUCUUCUAUGUACACUUCUUUCAAUGAAGUUUAGGCAAAUGCUGGGAUGCUGGAAUUUUGGCGAUCCCUAUUGAGACAAUCAAAUCCCUCUACUCUAACUGCAGCAGGUUUAAGUCCGUACUUCAUUCUAACACAACCUGCUUUGCGUGGGGACGAUAAAGUAGAUGGGGAUGGAGAUGCCGAAACAGGAGUAAACUUCUCAUCUCCGAAUCGGGCAUCUUGAAUUAAUGGGUUAGAAGCCCUACUGGGAGGGGAGCCACAAAAAUAUGGGGGUGAGGAGGCAACAUCGUUCAAAGAUUGUUCCAAUCCAUAGCCCUCCUGUAGACACCAACAUGUUAGUCAAUCAAAAUACCAUACAUCCAAUACAAAACCAUAACAUUACAGAAUCAAUCUAAACAAUCACAUCUAUAAUAUUUUGAAAAUUGGAAAAUGACACAUUGUUGAAAGCAUAAUUUAUGUCUAUCCUAUAAAAGAUUAAUUUGUUUAAAGUUUAAACUUAAGAUAAAGUUCCCAUGAAAGAAUUCUCCAAAGAACAGACAGGCAGCAAAAGAUUAAGUCAAGGGAUCACCAUGGUUGCUGCAUUGGAAAAAAAUAAAAAACAUUGUUUUGCAACAGAUAUGAUACACAUUUUAUUUUAUAAGGGAAAGAAAAAAACACAAAGAUUAAAUCAAUUGCAGCUCCAAUUAAUUGCCUCUGCGCAUUAACUGCAGCCAGAUUAUCAUCAACAUAAUAUCAAUUAAUCAUAAGGAAACGAAAUAACAAUUUACCUUCCUGAGAAUGAGGUCCAGAAGCUCUGCCCCAGCUUUUGAGUCACUAAACUCAGAUUGAUGACUGCUGAUUACAAAAGAAAAUUGUUAUCAGCUAAAAACAAGCAGAAAAGUAAAAUAAGGUGGGAAGGACAGCAUCGGUUAAAAGAGGUACCUCAUCUGCCAUCUCAAGGGCCUAAUGGGGCUGUUGGACAAAAUCCCAACUCGCCUAGGCUUGGGGCACACCACAGGGUCCUUGGUAUCAGAGAUAAAGGCAGACCCUCUGACGUCUUCACAGCCCACAUAAGAGGCGUUCUGGUGCUGAACAUUGAAAUGGUUCAUUUUCGAAACCGUUUCUGUUCCACAAAAGAACGCCUGUCCAUAUUACAGACAACACCAUCAGAAAAGAAAACAAAAAGCAGAUAAACUUCCCCAGAAAUAUUCCAAAUCCAUAGAAAAUCUUAAAAUAUUGUUUCACAGAGUUGAUCUCCAUUUAGUUGCAAAAUAAAAAUGACCAAAAUAAUGAAUCCGAGUCAGACACGCAACAUGUUCUAUACAAAUGAGCAUAGAAUUUCAUGAAACCAAAAUAACUUGGAAAGAAACACGCACAAAAACAAAACCCGUAAACUUUAUCCCCUAUUGGUUUGAUUUAUUCUUCUAUUUUCUAGCCAAUCAAACAGAAAGACAGAAGAUGCGGUCGAUUUCACAACAGAUCUAAGUCACACCUUCGAAAAAUCGGAGCUUUCCUCCGUCACAUACACCAACUUCAAAACAACACCACCCAAAAAGCCGUAAUGGUUCACAUCAAAACCUAAGCUGAGACGGCUUCGACACCAUUUGGAAGUCGCCCAAAAUCGCAGAAGAAGUGGGGGUUUUAAAUUGGUUUUAGCAAAUAGUAAAUACAGCUCAAACUGAUUUUACACAACAAAAUUUGACCACAAAACUUAGCCUUCACAAAAAUUACGAAAGGUAAUAUAGAAAAUGAAUAAAUAAAUUACAACGACGAACAUUUGACUCGGAUCUGUUACACAACAGUUUCCGGGAAAUAGACUAAAAAUAGGAAAUUAAUAACAUCCAAAUAUUCAAAGCAAUAGAUCUAAAACAAACAGAAGCAAAGCUACUAUGAUUUUUGCAGAGAGAGAGAGAGAGAUACCUGAAGAGAAUCCUCCGUAGGAAGAAGGAAGAACGCAAAGGGAGGUCAGAGCCACAAGGAAGAAGCGAAGAAAAGGGAUCUGGAAUUCAUUUUAUACUGGUGAAAGUAGAGUCUUGCCAAGGCUGACACCACGCCAUUUAAUCCACGUGAUUUUUUAUCUGAAUCCGCGUGAAUUUGUUGUGAAACACUGAAAAUGGAUUUUGGUUUCACGUAUUUGUGACUGCUGGAAAGAGUCAAAUUUUUGUCUAUUUUUUCUUAAUUCUUUUUUGUGCCAAACUUCUUAAUUCUAAUUUGGGUUAACGACAUUUUACUCCCUACAUGUUCGGGAUCAUUAUCAAAAUAGGCCACGAGGUUUCAAUUUCAUGAAUAUCAAAUUCAACGUUUUUAAAUAUGACUAAAUUACACUUUUCAUCAACUUAAUCGUUUAAUUUUUUGUAGGCUUAAAUACUAAAAUGGUCUUUGUGUUUUAUUAUGUUGGCCAAUUUAGCCCCUGUUUUUUCAAUUUAACUAAUUUGGUUCAUGUGUUUAGCACCGUUAGCCAAUGUGAUCCAAUUCGUUACACUUUUGUUAAAAUAUUAAUUAAAAAUAAAUAAAUAUUUUGAAUUCAAUUUUAAAAAUAAAUAAUCAAGAAAUAAAAAUAAGAUUUAAAAGCUAAAAGAAAUAAAAAUAUGAUUAAUCUUAACCGCAACACCCUUCUCUCUUUUCUUUGUCCCCCCAACAACCAUUGGUAGACCCACAGAGGAUUAAGGAGGUGCAGCUGCACCUCCCCUAACCGAAAAAUGCAUUGAAGAUGCUGGAAUUUUGCCCCUUUAUUUGUGCCUACCAAGUGUUCAAUUAAAUGCCACAAACAAGCUUUUGUGUUGCUAUUGUGUGAGACCCUAAAUAUUUACCUUAGAUUGUUGGGCUUGAUAUCACGAUCAUGUAGGAGAAUCGAUUCAUCAAUUAGAGAAUGUUUGUAGUUACAAUCCCAUGCUUCUCAACUUUAAUUCCUUUUCAAAAUGGGCCACUAGCAAGGCGCCAUAUGUCAAAUUUUAACUAGACCAACUUCAAAAAUUCUUUAAAAAUUCAUAUGUGCUCCGAAAAAAUCACCGAAAAUUACCCCGAACUUGUAAUCACAUGUACUUUUAUCUCAUGACCUCCAAAUCACAUGUAAUUUUGGUUAGAUUAAUUUUUAUUGAUUUUGGUUAGAUUCAUGGAUGAUUUCAUAUGAAUUUUGGUAAACUAAUUGUGUAAUUGACAUGGAUUUUGUUCAUAUUUGAUAUGAAUUUUGGUAAACUAAUUGUGUAAUUGACAUGGAUUUUGUUCAUAUUUGAUAUGAAUUUUGGUAAACUAAUUGUGUAACAUAAAUUUUGUGCAUAUUAGUUUAUAUACAAAAUAGAAUGUAGUCAGUUAGCCUUAGACAUAAACUCUUAUUUAUUUUAAUUAUGAAUAACAUUAGUAUUAUUUAAUUUGUAAGGGUAUUUGGUUGUCUAAUUUUUUUUUCCCCCUUUUAGUCUUUUUAAUAUUGCCCCACUCUUGAAAAAUUCAUGGAUCCACCACUGUACCACCCCAACUACUAUCCCCACGCACACCCAAAAGCCCUAACUUCUCCAACCACAACCACACCACACUCGAAAUCUAAUCCACCCCACCCCAACUACUAAUCCACCCUACCUCUCACCCAGAUCUAAUCCACCCCAACCCAACAAUUCCCUCGCCAUUCUUUUAUCCCAGUUGCGCCGCCUAAAUCUUCCCAGCGCACUCUGCCACGCGGUCGUCACCCUACUCCCUCAUGCCCAUCUUGGUUUUCUUUUUCCUUUUUUCUAAUGAAGUUGCAAUUUUUUUUUUUUUUUGGAAUGAAUUCAAUUUUUAUAAAUUAAUUUUAGGUUUUCAAGAGAAGAAGAAGAUUAUCAUAUUAUUUAAUGGCAAUUUUAACAGAAUGGACUACAUUGACUAACAAUGCAAAACACACAGACCAAAUUGGCCAAAUUGAAAAUGCAUGUAUUAAACUGGCCAACGUGAUAAAGCACAAAGACUAUUUUAGCAUUUAAACCUUAUUUGUUAAAUUAAUGACGUGGAGAAUGAGUUCUAUUAAACUAGUGACAUGGCAAUUAAGAUACCCACUUUAAUACUGAUGUGUAAAAAAACAAAUUUAAAUAUUUAAAUAUUUCCCCCCAACAACCUAGCAAAACGAGGAGGGUGAUACUGAUCCAAUAUGAUGCAGUAGCAUCAACCUCCGUCAGUACGAUCAUUUGUCCUUAAAGGGUUGCUUUUGCCGGAUUGAUGGUGGUUACCGUGUAUGUCACGCUUGCCACUACUGAAGGUAUGCUAGUAGCCAUCCUUCCUCUUGGGGUGCUGGGUACCCUGGUUAUCUGGAGCGGGAGCAGAAUGCUGAUGUGUGGCUGGGGUGGGUGCCGAAGCAGAUGGGGGAUCACCAAAAGUGUUACGUGCCGAGGUGAUUGGGCCACGUUUUGGAGUUAAAGUACUCAGUCUUAGCAUGGAUCGCGACCUACUUCAUGAGUUUGGCAUAAGUGUUCCAUGGGUUGCUGUGGACCAAGUAGCGGAAGUUGGAUUCGCGGAGACUACUCUUGAAAGCUCUGAAGGCAGCUCGAUCGUUGGUAUCCGGGCAACGAGAGUACUCGUGGCUGAAGCAGGCUGCAUACUCCCAAAGAGGUUCGUCCUCACCAUGCCGAAGCAUAUACAAGUCAUCCACGGAGUACAAGGGAUCGGUUUGGAUGAUAAAGUAGUCGAGAAAGGUAUUCUUCAGACUGUCAAAGGAGUUGAUAGUACGGGGGUUCAGCCGAUAGAACCAGUUCAGAGCAGCGCCACUGAGGGUAGAAGGGAAAAUGAGAUACAUGACUUUGUCACUGAGGCCCUUACAUUCGAAGGCAAACUAAAAAGAAUGGAUAUGGGUGAGAGGAUCCUCCGUGCCAGUGUAGAACGCUAUGCGGAGCGGCUGAAUGUCCUUAUCCUGGUGAUAAUUGAGGAUACGUUCAAUAAAGGGCCCAGGGCAUGGCUUCACCCAGAGGGGUUGCUGGCUGCGGUGCUGCUCACUCUCAAGACAUCCGACCUUCUCCAAGAGAAGCCUCAUGACCGGGUUGGCAUAAGGGAGAAUGCUGAGUGCUGAAGGCUUGAGGUGUGGAUGGGCAGGGAUUGGGUAAACUUCUCACUCUUCAAACACUUCAGUAUGGUAAGACUCUCAGUCAGUCAUCUGGACGAUAAGGUUCCUAGUCAUCCGAAUCCCCUGCACCUUCUCUGGCGGGUAAUUUGGUGGGCUUCGGUGGGGGUCGUAGGUGUGUCACCCAUGGGUCAUUGAGGUCAACAGGAAUAUGGAUAGGAUUUGGCUGAAGGUCCGAGAAACGGUCCCUACAAUCCCAUAGAUCUUUGUCGGUUCAUGGGGCCAGUCUUUUGGUGGGGAGAUGCAAAGGAGCCGCGACUUGGUCGUCUCCGGAUGAAGGUGGCAUUUACUCUUGCCUAGCCCAGACUGGAUUGAGGUGCUGUGACUAGAUAUCACUGGUUGGUUCGGCUGGGAAUGCUUAAUAUCCUGGGUAAUGUCCUGUUGGGCGCCCUAGGGGUAGGUCCUCUCCCAGUUAUGCUUCAGGGUGCCACAAUCAUGCCCCAGUUCGACGUUCUUGGUAUGAAGAUGUUCGUAUUUCUCCAACAUUUUGGCAACACUGGUAUGGAGGCGCUCUACUUUUGCCUAGAGAUUGAUCUCCGUCGAAGGUUUCUUUAGGGAGGUAUCCCCGCGAAGGGUAUGGUGCUGGGUAUUGUGGCUGGUCUCACUCGGCAUAGCAGGGGUGAAGAAGAGGCGACAUGGCCUGAUGGGGGAGGGAGCCAACGGGGCUGGUAGAGGGAAAUGAGAUUCCGAAGUCGAUUCCCAUAGAUGACGCCAAACUGUUGAUGCUCUUUUUAGGAGGGUCAACUUAGAGAAGGGCAGGAUCUUUAGUAAGGGAGAAGGUGAAGACCUUCGGAGUUGGAAGAACCUACAGAAGACAAGGAGGAAAAAGCAGUCGUCAAGCUUCGGACACCAGUGUGGUGUCCGCCGAAGGCUCUCCGAUGCUUAAGUAAGUUAUAUGUGAUAAUUUUGACAAAGUAACAGUAAAUGUGAGAAAUUAGUUACCCUUUUUACUCGGGUACUGUUCCUUAUUUAUAGGGAAGUGAAAAUGAGAGUUUUGCACAAAGUUUCAAAGUAGGACUUUGUGCAAGUUGCUGUGGUAGUGACAUGUGUCCUUGGAGGUUAGGUUUGGCAGUUGGAAGAUUUGGCAGUCGGGAGUUUCGGCAGAUGUCUGCCGCUCCGGAAGAGUGUCUUCCUUCGACAUUUCGGAAGGUGAUGACGUCUGUCACUUUCUCGGGAUUUGUCUGUGUGUCCCUUUGGGGUAUUUCAGCAAGGAAGAAGGCCUGUCUGCCUUGAUGCUAGUCUCUUUGGCAUUGGAUAUGCUCUGUUGAUUAUGGUGUAAACACAUAGUAUUAUUAUAUUACAACUUCUAGAGCACACAAGUUUGACUUCUAGAGCGUACAAGUUUGACUAAGUCUUGCCCAUAUUAGAUAAUAUAGAUAAUACAACAAUAGAAGAAGUUGAUAGGGGACUUGAUUCUGUGUCCAUAGAAGACAUAAAUAGACCCAAUCAAAAAAGAAAAAACGGAUACAAAUAGUUAACAUGUGUUAUUGUUGUUCUUGAACUCUAGCCAUGUUUACAGACCAUGAGUAGAUUAUGGAUUGUAUUGGAUUGGAAAGGAUAAAUAUCAUUUAUUAGCUCCCGUAUCUUGAGUUUGAGAUUAGGAGAUUGGAGUAAUGGGAUUAUGUAUGCCACCUUUUUGGUAGAUUAUCCUACAAAAAUGCACAUAAUAUGAUUACGGUGAGAUUAUCCUUUAUCUUAUCAACAUUCAUUUUCACCAACCCACCAAAUAAGGCAUCUAGAAUUUUCUUCCUUUUCUUCUUUAACUAGGAUACCAUGUAACCCUAUGUGGCCUAUUUCUGGCCUUUUAUGCCGAAAUUUCUUUGGCAUUUUGUGAUCUAUAUAUGGAUUAACCCUAUAUUGUUACUAUGUUUCUAUAUUUGUAUUACCCAUUUGUGGGCAUUUAUAUUUGCCUUAGUGACCGAUAGUCUUUGUACCUAAUGUAUGAAUACAAUUACUGCUUUUUUCUCAACAACAAAAAAUAAAAUAAAAUAAAAUGGAUACCACAUAACAUAAUUUGUUAUUGUUAAUGAACCGUUUCAAUUGUAUGGCUCAAAUUGUCAAUUUCUCGUACUUUUUUUUUGUGUUGGAAAUCAAUUACUCGUACUUAGACCAAAUGGUCGACGCCUUUGAAAAUUACAAUCUGACGUACCAAACCUUCCCACUGAUAAUAACACGGCCAAUUUGGUCCCAUUAUUUAUUAUUUAUUAUUUAUUGUUGAAUAUUUCAGAUAAAGCACUCCCAAUCAGAUCGGAUCUCCAACUCUGCAGCCAACACGUGCUCUUUUAUUUUUUUUUAUUUUUUUGCUAAGUCAGAUUCUCAUUUGGUUAGGAUUUCUUUUCGGGCCCUCUAUUUUAUUUAUCUUUCUUUAUUUUAUUAUUUGAUUCAGAAAAACAAAACCAACAUGGCGUUGAAACUGGCAAAGCCUUACAGGCGCCACCCUUUUCCACUCGACGGUACUUGAGUUAGCUUAGAACACUAUCUCAUUCUGAUAUUGGUCUUUUUGGUUUUCUGUCUUUCUGGUUUUUCACCUUUAAAAGAAACUCUGUUCGAAACGUUUCAGAGCAGUUGAGGGCCAAGUUUUGUUUCCUAACAAAGAGAAAAAAGAGCAUAGAAGCAAUGGCGCCCAAAAAGAGGCUGCAAGGUGUUGAUGACAAAUUGCAGAAGCUUCUGGAUGCUAACAUGGAUGAAGCUCGUGCCAGAAGGCGGGCUCGUGAGGCCUUCAAGGAAAUUCAGCUGGGGAUUGACCAUAUUUUGUUCAAGGUAUUGUUUUCAUAUGUUCCAUUUGAAUUUGAAUUUUUUGUUUUUGUUUUUUGUUUUUGGGAACGUGAACUUUUGGGUUGUUUAUGGUUCCAGCGAGUUGUAAUUUGAGAGAUUGCAAUUGGGUUUUGUAGUGGGUUGAUGAUUAUUGGCACUGAAACUUUUUAAUGGGUUAAUGGGAAUCGGUGGUUAGUUGAGGAAUGAACUAUUUUUCACGUUGAAUUUUCAUUGACAUAACUUUUUUUAUUAUUAUUAUUUUUUAAAGAUUUGCUUCUGAACUGAUUUUAUGCAUUUUUACAGUCCACACAGCCACACACAUAUAUUCAAAUUGGCUAUGCAUACUAUUUUUCUUUGGUUUUUGGUCAUCUUUCUGAGAUAGUAGUUCAAGAUGUUAUACAAUAUUCAUUCUUGCUGUCUUUUAAUUACACUCUUGGAAUAUUUUCUCAGUAAUAUUUAUUGUUUUAUGUUUGGUUGUGUUGCAGACACCCACUGAUGGAUUGAAAAUAGAGGAGGUAAAAACUCUUUAUUACAGCAAUCAACUUACAUUUUGUUUUUUAUUGGUACAAACGGCUUUUGGGUGCGAGAAAUGCAGUGGAGUGAUAUGCCAGUCAAGGAAUUAUAUGCCUAUGCUGUGUGUGUGUGUGUGUGUGUGUGUGUGUCAUUUCUUUGUAUUUUAAUUUUUAAUAUUUUGUGCAAACCUGUACGCCAUUCUUAUCUGCAAUUUUUUUUUUCUCAUCUAUCUUAUAUUGGUUCAAGAUAGUAUUCUAGCAUCCAACCCAAAACCAGUUCAUAAUGGGUAGAUACCAAGAUCUUGUAUACUAUGGUUCAAAGCUUGACAUUCCUAAUGUGGGAUGUAUACUCUCGACAUGCCCCCUCAUGUCUGGCGUGGUCCAACAUGUGAAAAAACUUAUAUUAGGUGACGUGGGAGCACAUGUGGUAAUCAGGGACUGACACGUGGAUGAACUCUAACACUGAUAAAAUUAGACUAUGCAGUAUUUAUACUCUCACCAGGUCCAGUAUGAGAAGGUUUGUUGAUCAGUCAUACAUUGAUCUAUACCCAUGGGCAGCUUGAGAGUUACUAACACUUCUCCUCUGAAUUCAGUUGUGGCCAUUUUUAACUAUACUUGUAAGUGGUAUUGUUUCUGCAAAAUUAGCUGUCAUGUAUCAUGCUAGGUUAAGGUGUUCAUAAGCAUUGGUGCUCGCUUGUUAGAUUUCCAAAGUUUCUGCUCACUACUUUUAAUAUGAACAUGGUCUUGGC